RNAcentral lists this long non-coding RNA (53897 nucleotides) under Ananas comosus (pineapple). RNAcentral's name for it is "long non-coding RNA (ACOM_LNC000290)". The record is from RNAcentral. Lineage: Eukaryota; Viridiplantae; Streptophyta; Magnoliopsida; Poales; Bromeliaceae.
CAACGAUCUCUUCGACCGCGGCAGAAAGGGGAGAUAGGCACACAUUAGUGAGAGAGGGAGGCGACGGUGUAUAGAAAAAGAUGAGGGAGGGAGAAUUGAUGAAUUAAUUGGAGAUGAAGAUAUGCGGAAUGCAGAUGGCGAAGGAUAAUUUGGAUGCAUUAAUUAGAAGUCUGGUGGAGAGAAGGAGGAGGAUCUUAAUGGAUUAAUUGGAGAGAAAGAUGUAAGGAUUGUAGAUGGCAGUGGAACCAUUUAUAUGCAUCAAUUGGAAGUUUGGUAGUAGAACCGUUUAAAUGCAUUAAUUAUAUGCAUUAAUUGAAAGUUUAAUGAAGGAAAUGGAGAGUGAAGGACAACUUGGCAUGGAGAAUGAGAAGGGUCACACGCUAGUGAGGGUGAGAAACAACUUGCCACGUGGUAAAAAUAUUGAGAAUUUAUAUAGACUAGUGUAGUCACCCGCGCGAUGCGGCGGAUAAAUAUUAUCAAAUCAAUCAUUAUUUUUAUAAAAUAAAAAAUAUUAGUUUAAAUGGGCUGUAAAAAUCGGUAAAAUACUAUUAAAGAUGACAUUUUUAUACUUAUUAACUCAACAAUUUAUAUAAUUAAACUCAAUAUUUCAGUCAAAAAAAUAAUAAAAUUAUAAGUAAGGAUAAAUACAAAAUUUACAAUUGAUUACACAUAACAAUUCAAAUAAAAGGAAUUGUUAAAGUUCAAGCGAGUGUUAAUUGAAAAUUAAAUAAAAUUGAGGGCCUAUUUCAAAUGGGCUAGAGAGGAUUUCUCAGUAAACAUUUUUACCAAUCUUUUUUUAGUAUUUAAAAAAAAAAAGCCAAACAAAGCUAAACCUGCACUUCUCCAGGCCUAAUUAUGCCCUUAUGUCCAGCAAAAUUUUGAUGAGUGAAUGAGCCCUGAAACCCCACAGAAAUAAUUCAGUGAACAUCUUAUAAGCAUCUACUACAAACCAAUCUGAAUUAUAACAGAGAUGUGUAACUUGAGUUACUUCUAGUAUAUAUGUAACAGUCUCAAAAAAAAAAACAUAAUUAAGCACAACAACACCUGAGCAGAAGCAAAUAUCCUAUAACAUAAGACCAUGGAUAAUAAGUUGUAAUUUUUCAAAACCAACCUCUAUGAGAGUGAUUAGAAAACCCAGCGGGAGGAGAAACUACAACAAAACAAAUUGUAAUUCAAGCAAAAAAAAAACCCCAACUUAAAAGAAAAGGAACGGUUGAGAAAAAUCAAGCAAAAUUUGGAAAAAUUUAAUGAUAAAAAUUCUAAAUUUUUUAUCCAAAUCGAAAAAAAAAAAGGUUUUCACAUCUUUCCGAUAAACCAAAAUACCUUCAAACUCAUUCAGGAGAGAAACUCAUUCAGGAGAGAGAAAGGAUCCAAGAUUCUCAGCUCAGCCUGCAAAUCACAUAAACCCCACCAAAUUAACACCCAAAAAAGAAAAACCAAAAGGUACAUAUAUAAAAAAAAGAAUGAAUUCAUAAAAAAGUCUCUUUUUGCUUUCGCAAUAAGUAAUCGAUUCAUCUAAAAGUUCGAUCUCAAUCAUUCAAUGAAUUACAAAUUUUUACACGAAUUACCUUUCAAUACUUCUCCUCAUGGUGGCGCCUUGUCUAAAAAAAAAAAAAAAAAAAAAAAUCAGCUACAGCCGUUGGCACCGAACCCAAUCCUUUGAUCGGAGAUAUCAUAAACGACGGUGAACUUCCUCUGCUGCGUGUUUCCGAUGAUGCUCACUUCGUCGGCCUUCGUGUUGCCAGCAAAUGCUAAACAAGCCUGCGAUGGGCUGCCAUACAUUAUCCCGUCGAACCCCAAAUUGAGGCUCGCCCCGCUGUCGAACACCNCUCGGAUUCAAUGGAGCUUGAAGUAGAGAAGAAAUCCAUGGAGGAAAGAGAGCUACCCACCUCUAACAGCGACUCCAAUUCCGGCACGGCGUCGAGAACGACGGAAACACUUCCUCGCCCGGCCUCCUCGUGAAACUACGGCGAUGCUCGUAUGCUCGGACGACUCCGCGGCGCGACGUCGACGACGGAAAGCUCCACACGAGCUCCUCCUUGCUCCCAACCGGCGAGAGAGAGAGAGAGAGAGGAGAAGAAGAAGCUGAGAAACCCACUUCUCUGUUUUGUAGUGAGAGAGAGGGAAAAGGGGUGAUAUAAACGAUGAAGAAUUUUACCAAGAAGCCCCCCCCCCACACACAGGACCUGGGGUCUCACAGAUCAUAUAAUGUAGAGGAGAGGGGAGGGGAAGGGGUGGAAAUUAAAGGAGAGAGAAUUAUUAAAAAAAUGAAAGAAUGAAAUGGUGGCUUUGAAAAGUUUAAUAGAUAUUCAAAGUUGGUACAGUAAUCAAUUAUGAUUAUAAUUGUCAUUAAUUGAUUAAACGUUAAUGUAGAUUACCAUUAAUUCAUGAAACGUUAAUAGAUCAUAUAACAUAGAGGAGAGGGGAGGGGAAGGAGUGGGAAUUAAAGGAGAAAUAAUUAUUAAAAAAAAACUAAAACAAAAUUUUCUAUCUAUUAACUUAAGAAUGAAGGGUUUCUUGCCACGUGGCAAGAAACAUUGUGGAUUCAUUAUGUUUAAUAGAUUAAUAGAUUAAUUAGAGAGAAAGAAGUAAGGAUUGUAAAUGGCAGUGAAAUUAUUUAGAUGCAUUAAUUGAAAAUUUGGUACGUAAUGGGACCAUUUAGAUGUAUUAAUUAAAUGCAUUAAUUAAAAGUUUGAUGAAGAGAAUGGAAAGGAUGACACCCUGGUAAGGAUAAAAGAUAACUUGCCAUAGGAAAUGAAAAGGAUCACACGAUGAUGAGGAUGAAUGACAACUUGCCAUGUAGAAAAAAUAUUAAAAAUUUAUAUAGGUUAAUAGAUGCGGUGAGAAACUAUAAUGAAAAAUAAAUUCGUUUAUUUUCAUCCGUAAUAUUAUUGUGAGACUCUACGGUAUGUUUUUUUUGUAGCACUAUCGAAAAAUAAAAUAAUAUAUAUUUUUACGCUUUCGUUGUUGCUUAAUUUAACUCAUAAAGAGGUGUGAAGUGAUGUUCCAUCGUAAAUGUUUAUUUUUGUUUUCGUUUCAGUACCCUUAUUUUUGACCGAAAUUUAAAAUUUUCAAAGAGCGUAAUUGUUUAUUUUAGGACAGAUUCCAAUACGAAAGAAAUAAUAAAAAUAUAAUAACAUAUUUCUCAUCUCUUAUCCCUCUAAUUAAUUUUUAUGUUAUUUAUAUUCUACUAAACAAAUAAUAAAUACGGAAAACCUUGAAUUGGACAACUACAUAAAUGAAUAAUAAAAGAAAAAACUAUAGUUUACAAGCAAAUAUAUUUUAACUUGAACUUUAUUUAGCCACGAUGCAAACACCAAACAGGCUCUUAAUUUUAGUCUCGAAUUUGGAAAGGAAGUGUCUUAGCUACGAGGAAUUCUACACUGUCACACUUACACCACGUCAUUAAUAACAAGUCAAUUAUUUUUUUUUUCAAAUAAAAAUAUAUUAAAAAUAUUUUUUUUAUAAUCAUGAUGGGACAUAUAUAUUUCUAAAAAAAGACAUUUGAUUGAUUUGUUACGCUACGUCACCAAUAUACCCGUUGCAUUCUAGAAUUUUUCCUUAGUUACACCUACACCAUAUUAUUUGUGUGUAGCCAAUCAUGUCUUUUAUUUUUAAAAAAUAUAUAAUACAAAUAUAUUUUUUAAAAAGAUUAAGUUUAUAUAGGUUUCUGCAAAUAUAAGUGAAUGUCAAAUAUGUCUCUGCAAAGUUCAAUUUUUAUACGGUAUUCCUGUAAAAACUCUGAUAUUUUCAAAUACAUCCAUCUGGUUUCUUACCGUUAGAGAAUCGUCAAAGAACUAUUUAUAUUUUUAAUUUUAUCACCAUAAAUACGGCCCUCUAAAAACUAUAACAGUAUAAUAUAAGAGAAGUAAAUAUGUCAAAAACUAAUUGGGAUUAAGUAUUUAAUCUAUAAUUAACUAAAUUUUUCUAACAGAUUCUAACGGUAGGAAUAUAUUAAAAAAUAUCAAAAUUUUUACAGGAAUAAUAUAUAAAAAUUGAGCUUUGUAGAAUUAUACUUGUCAUUCAUUAUAUUUAUAGUAAUAUGUAUAAAAUUAAUUUCUAAAAAAAUAUAAUGAAAUAAUCAAUGAACAUGAUGAAGAUGAUAUGAUUGAUUCGAAAUGCCACCUAUCCGAGUGUUACAUUAUUUUAGACUUUUUAGAACUCGGCGCGACCGUCGUUGGCACGUGUGAAAGGGGGCCGGUCUCCCAUGUGUGGGUCUCGGGCCGACACGUGGCCUCAAGUUAGGUACCCCCGCACGUGCGUAGCAGCGACGGGCGCUGCUGCAGUAGCAACGUGCGUGGGGCCCAGGAAAAUUUAGAACAGUUGUAACACAUACGAUUUAUCCUAAAUUAAUUUUAUUAUUAUUAUAAUAUCAAAUAAAAUAAAAAAAUUUAAUCAUAUAAUAAUUACACAUUAAAAAAUAAUAUUUUGACUAAAUUAGAAAAAAUUUUCUUGUCAAAACCUGAUUUUUCACAUUCUCCAUUUUAUUUAAAAAUCUACACUUUGGACUAUUAUAAAAUAAAAAAUAUUCACUCCACCCUCGACCGUUAGUAAUCCGUUAGGGUUCCGUUUAUAAAAUAUUAUUAUUAUUUUUUAUGCCAAAAAUGUCUUUAACCUUCUCUUCUGUUGCAAAAAAUGAUUAAAGACAAAAUGAUCAUUUUGUCAUCACAAUUUACACCGUACCUUCUGUGACUAUUUUUAUUUUACAAAAGAACAAAGUGUAAAUUUUAAAUAACAGGAGGAAAAAAUAAAAAAUCAAAUUUUUACAGAAGAUUUUAUAUAAUUUAGCCUUUUAUUUUUUUUAUAUUUUUCAGCAAUAUAGAUAUAUUCUAUAUAUUCAAUUAGAUGUCUCACGAUAUUGGCAGUGCAUAUAGUUAACAAAAAAUAAAAUUAAAUUAAAAUUUGGUGACUUAAUAAGUAUACUAAUAUAUGAAUAUAUGUGUAUAAAUAAAUUUAAAAAAGAAUUUUAUACUUGUAUAUUAAAUAAAUAAUUUUUAAAACAGAGAUUUUGUUUUUGUAUGAAAAGCUCUCUCAGUCAAACAAAGGACUAAAUUAAGAUUCUAUCUCUCUGUAAUAUUGUCUCCCAACUAAAAACAAUAAUCAAAACCAUAAUAAAACCAUAAUAACAUUUUAUUUAACUAAUUAAUCCCUAGUUGAUUAAUUAGCACACAAGCAACAGAAGAGAAAUGUAAUUAGGAGUUUAUGGAGACCCCUGGAUAUUUCAAAGUGAACUCAUUAAAUUUUUUUUUUUUUUUUUUUUUUUUUUUNUUUUUUUUUUUUGAUUGAUAUCUUCUGCUUCUAACUUUUUAGAAUUAAAUAAUUUACAUUAAAAUUUUAAUUAUUUUUAAAAAUUUAUUAAUAAUUUUAAUUAUUUUUUUAGCAAAUAAAAUUAGAUCAAUUAACACUUAAUAACUAAUAAAACUAUAAAUUUGAGAAACUUUCAAAUAAACCAAAUAUAAAAGCUCAAUUUUUUUUUUUAAAAAAAAUAGAAGUUGAGAGGUUUCAAUCGAAAAUUAUAAAAAAAAAAAGAAAAAACUUCAAAUACCACCCUUCUGGUUCAAUAUUUUUUUAUUUUAGUACCAUAUAAUUUAAAGUGCAUUAUCACUAUAGUAUUUUAUGAUUUUAUUUUUUUCUUUCCAACAAAAUUACAGGAUAUUAACAGUGAUACACCUUAAACCACAAACUAUUAAAGAAAAAUAUUCAAGGCUUUUUUUUUAAAUUACAAAUUUAUCUGAACUAUGAGUUAUUUUGAAACAACCACCUAACUUUUGGUGGCCUCCUUAUAUAUAUAUAUAUUUUUUAGAGGACUGAAUGCAAAAAAAAAAAAAGUCUUUAAAUAAACUGUCCAUAGCUGAGGGCUGUAUUUUAACUUGUUCAAUAGUUGAGGGGUCUCCAUACAUUUCUACAAAAGUGAAACAGGGGCAUUUCCGUAAUUUUUUCUCUCUCUCUCAUCCCCCANUUCAUACAUUUCUACAAAAGUGAAACGGGGGCGUUUCCGUAAUUCUCUCUCUCUCUCUCAUCCCCCAUACAUUACCAUUUCCUCUCCUCCUCAAAAGAAGAGAAGAGAAGAGGAGAGAGAGAGAGAGAGAGAGAGAAAGAGAAUCUAUCCAAUCUACUUGCAAUAAAGAAACCCCCGUACGUUCCUCGUGAGCAAUCUCAGAGAAAACACACACAACACACACACACACACACACAUAGAGGGAGAGAGAGAGAGAGAGAGAGGUUAGGGUUAGGGCACAAACCCAUCUCCGCAAAUCGCUGCUCCAAUGGCGAGGACGACGGAGCGCCCCUACUAGAGAAAGAGAGGGGGUGGGGGGGGGAGGGGGAGAGUGAUAGUGUAAUACGAUGACAUCGGGGGGAGCGGGGGGGAGGACGCCGACGUGGAAGGAGAGGGAGAACAACAAGAGGAGGGAGAGGAGGAGGAGGGCGAUCGCGGCGAAGAUAUUCGGGGGGUUGAGGGCGCAGGGGAACUACAAGCUCCCCAAGCACUGCGACAACAACGAGGUCCUAAAGGCGCUUUGCAACGAAGCAGGGUGGGUCGUCGAGGACGAUGGCACCACCUACCGCAAGGUUAUCGUCUACUCCGCCAGCCCUUUCUCUUUCUCCUCCGUGUAUCUGGAUUUGGAGUUGUAAUGGUGGGUUGAGAUUUGGAGUGAUUUGGGCCAAAGAUGAGAUUUUUUUUUUCUCUUUUUUUUUUUUCGAUGAUGUGGGUUUGGGGAUUUUGCUCAAAAUAAUCGCUUGUGGAAUAUCUUUCUUUGUGAUGUGUUGGUUUUGGGGGGUUUGGAGAUGCAAUGGUGGGUGGGUAUGGAGUGAUCUGAGCCAAGAUGUGAUUUUUCUGAUGCGGGUUUUGGGACUUUUCCUUUUCUUUUUUUUUUUGCUGAUUUUUUUUUUCCCUUUUCGGGGGCUAAUCUGAUUUUGUUUUGGGUGGUAUCCCUUCCAAUUUAGGGCUUUAUUGAAUUUGGUUCUCUCCAAUACAAAGAUCUGCGUGCAAGAUUGCUUUUUGGGUGUUUUCUUAGAUCAUUUUCCCCUUGAUAAUUUGUUCUCAUCAAACUACCCGUUCCUGGAUCCCUUCAGAUUUAAUGAGAUAUCCUAAAUUUAAAAUGGUUUCUAGAUCUGUGGCUGCAACCUUUUUUUUGUGGAAGAAACCCUAAAUUUGCCCUUGCUUUUGAGCUUGUUUCACAUUUUUUUCUAGAUGGAAGGUUGAUCCUCUUAGUCAUGUUGCUUUUAUCCAAAAGUUUUGAUCUUAAUUACAAAAAAAACAAAAAAGAAGAAAAUUUUAACUUUUGAUUCUCUUUUUCUUUUGACUGUUGCUCUUUGUUAUGGCACCCUUUGGUGCAUUUUUCUUUUUUUAAUUUUCAUUGGACCCAACAUGAUGGUGUCCUUUUAAUUGGGUUGUGGAAAUUUGUCUCUCUACUAUUUAACUUUUCUUUCUAUUGUUCCUCUCCCUUUUUCUAUUUAUGUUAAGCAUUUUGUAUCAAGUGAUUUUUUUUUAUUUUCUUCCUCUUCAUCCACCUUUUGAAGAAGAGUAGAAAAAAGUGGGCAGGGGAAGAAUAAAGUCAAUUCAUUUCCCAAUUACAGGAUUAGGGCACCUUCUAGACAUCAUGGACAUUAUCCAAACAAAUCAAAAAGUUGAGAAAUGAAAAAAGAUUUCAAUUUAUUUAUUCACCUUAUCAUUAUGAUUGAUGGAUGAUGAUCUACAUUUCUUCAUUGACCUCAUAACAUUGUUAAUGAACAUGAUUCACUUUGUUCAUCAACUCAGAAGAUGAUAUUACUGAAAAUGAUUUAGUUUCUUUAUCCUGCAGCAAUAACAAUGGUGCUCAAUAUAUUUUAUUCUGAUCAUGUAUCUAUUGUUACUUACCUAGUCAUGAAGCUUUGAUCUUUAUCUCUAAUGCAUCAAAUGUGUUGCGCUAAAUACUUACCCUAUAUAUAUAUUUGUUGCCUCCCUAAAUCAUAAGAAUGAAAUAUCAAUGUCCGCAUUUACACAAUUAAUUAAAAUGAUGUAAUUUCGUGAUGAUUUGUUCAUUAAGUCAUGAGAUGAUGGAUCUCUGCAUCAAGAAUGAUUGUGCUUAAAAUAUUUAUUCUGACCAUAUCUCUACUGUUUCACUCUCUUUAUGAUCAUGAAGUUUUUGUAUAUUCUAAUGCAUAUUACCGCUCUUUUCAUUCAUUUUACUCUUUACAGGGAUGCAAACCGGCUUCGCGACCUCCUGAAUUGACUAUAGAAGGCCCCUCGGCGAACGUAAGCCCGUGCUCCUCCUCCCACCAUCUCAGCCCACUCAACUCCUCGUACCCUAGUCCGGUCCCUUCCUAUCAUGCAAGCCCGUCCUCCUCCUCCUUCCCUAGCCCCACCCGCGUCAACAACCCUAACCCCAACCCUACCCUUAACCCCUCUCUUUCCUCCGCAACCUCCCCACCCCUCUCCCCCCCCUCCGAGUCUCAAACAGUGCCCCUGUGACUCCGCCCCUGUCAUCUCCGACUGCCGCCUCUCGCCCUGCGAAGGUGCAGAAAACUAAUUGGGACAAUUCUGCAUUUCCCAAUUCAUUUUUUGCCGUCUCCGCACCCUCUAGCCCGACUAGAACCCGGUUUCACCACCAUCAUGCGACAAUACCCGAGUGUGACGAGUUGGACAUUUCCACCGUCGAUUCUGGGCGGUGGGUCAGUUACCAAAUGACGGCGCCUGCGUCGCCGACGUAUAAUCUUAUCAACCCCGCCGCUCCUCUACCAGAGAGCGCGAGGGUCAUCGGAGGUCUGGAAAGGACAGGGCGUGGCGGUGGGGCGGAGUUUGAAUUCGAGAGCGGGGGGCGAGUGAAGCCUUGGGAAGGGGAGAAGAUUCACGACGUCGGGGUGGAGGAUCUCGACCUCACAUUGGGAGUGGGCAGCGGGUGUGCUAAGUGAGUUGAUGAUCUUGGAGUUAUAUUUGGCUCGGACCGCUCAGGUUCGCGCUGUUCGCUUGUCUUGUGUUGGUAUUAUUCUGUAACGCGCGCAUUAACAUGGGUUGAUUCUUUGAUUGCCUUGAGCAGCAAAUCAUUGUGAUGUUGAGCUACCAGUGUGAUGGCAGUUGCUGGUAGCCUAUUUCUGUAGAUCAGCAAUCAGGGUUUUGUUGCUAGCUUUGUAAAUGUUGGGAAGAAGCUUGCUGAGGAGAAGUAAUAUCUCCUAUCUCCCGUUCUAAUCAGUUGGUUUAUUCCAAUGCUGUUUUCUGGGGUGAUGUGAGCAAUUAAUAUUUUCAAGGAACUGCUGUAUUUAUUAGGUCUACAAGAAAAUUCUCUAAUUGGAUUUUUUUUUUUUUAUUUUACUGUUGAGAGAAGAUCUAUAAAUUGGAAGGUUGUUACUCGCUUCUCCAAAUGGCCCUAUUUUUUUUUUAAAAAAAAAUUCAAUCUAAAGAGAUAUGAAAAUAGCAUCUCUUUUCCUUACUGCAUGAGACCCAUAAGAUUGUGAUCGAUUUGUUUGAGAUUUAUUGGAGAAAUUAGAGGUAUUCAAUUUGUGCUAUCCAAAAAGACUACUGUUAACAGAUUUGUUGUGUUAAAUCCGAGCUUUUGCUUUCAGGAUUCGGAGUCUCGUAUUUCACGCGUUGCUGAGAAGGAAACUUCAUAUUCUUUCUCUUUACUAAAUGCUGUACAAUGCUUACAGAAGCAGCAGAAGCAAAGUAAAACAGGCUCUCCUUUUUUCCUCUCUGUAGAAGUUCCAAAUUACUCUUCAACCAUAAUUAUUAUGUCUAAAACUUUAGUUAAUGCUGGAACUAUUUCUCUUAAUGCUGGAACUAUGCUUUGUGGCUGCACCCUACACAAGCGAGAUAGUGAUAUCUCCAUGGAGGGAUGCACUGUUCGGUCAAAGGGAACCAGGGAGCUUUCGAGGGGCCUCUCUUUUCUUAAUGUGAGGCGUGGAGAAGCUGCUGAUCUUUAUGAUGCACUCAUCUACCAAACACUGCAGGAAAAAGCACUUCUUUUUUAAUGAGAGCUGGGGCCAGGGAAAGAGCCAUUUCAACUAAAUGAGCCCCAACCCAGCCAAACCAAAUGUUUUGAGGAAAACACCUGGUGGCCUUGUAAUUUUACGGCAUAGAAUCUCAAUAGGUUCAAUAGGAACAAGGAUAGUGGGAACACGAAAUCCAAACAAUUCGCAUUUAAAACAGAAAAAAAAAAAAAAAAACAAAUAAAGGGAACUAUCCGAAUGAGGUCUAUCAAUGUAGUCUCUGGGGUAAAUUGUAUGAUUAGAGGUCCAAACUUUUUAGAUUAGUUUCCAUUUAGUUACAAUUGGAUCCUUCACAUUCUGUUGCCAUCAUAACUUUUCCCUUCAAAUGUCUCUCUUAAGAUCGACAAAGUUGUCGAUGUAACGACCAUUAAAUUAAUAUGGAGGUUGGAAGUCCAAAGUAGAAACGCGUCGACGGUUGGGGAAUAAUGGUGCAGUUUACCUUUCAUUUAUGAGCAGUACUAAUAUUAAGACCUUGCAAUUGUGACAACAAAGUAUAGCUGAACACGACGGAAGAAGAAACCAAAUUCAUUACUGUAUUAGCAGUCAAAUUGUGUAAGCAUUACAGUGAUAUUACAAGCACAAACAGAAUAAGAAGAAAUUAGAUACUACAUAAACUCUUAACGCAUACUAUUUCCAGAUCAAGUAUAAUUAGCAGAGCAGAGUGAAAUGGUAAACCAACCUGCCUCUUAAGCCUCUGUUAGUAACAUUGCCGAGAUACUUUUCUUCACUUCAGCAGCCCGAGUGUGGUUUUCGCAGGCAUUAAAUCUAAAGCAGCUAGAAAGAUGGUCGUUGACUAUUCCUGCGGCUUGCAUGAAAGAGUAAAUAAUAGUCGGCCCGACACAUCGGAAGCCCCUUUGCAUUAGGUCCUUGCUAAUGGCUUCUGCUUUUGGACUCUUCACUGGAACUUGACGCGUGUAUCGGAAUCCAUUGACUAUCGGCUUGUGGCACACAAAGUUCCAGCAGUAGUUGCUGAAGGACCCAAAUUCCUCUAUUAUCUGUAAAUGGUAGACUCAGUUACUGCUUUAACUCAUGUAGUGAGCAUGCUUCGUAAUAUCGAUAAGGGUUGUUAUUAACAUUUAACCAACAUUUGUCUUUACAUGAAAAGCAAACAUCUAGUACAAGGAUUUUUUUUUUUUUCAUAUUAUAGAAAAAAUAACAAUGGGCAAACUCUAUAGCAAUACUACCAUCGUAGUACUACCAUUUAAGUCGGCAAAAUCUGUUAUCGGCAGCAUGGUAUCGAACUGCGGUCACGAAUCUUAAAUAACUUGUGAGUUCUAACUAAAAUACCAAAAUAAGGAACUCCACUUUAAAGCAGUGAGGUAACAUAACAACAUUAUUAGCAGUUACAUUUUAUACAAUAUCUAGAAACAUAACAAUAAAGUAGCAGGAAAUGUUUACACUCUUGUUAGAGUUAAUUCGAUUAAGAAGGCACCCAGAAUGAGCAACCUACAAAAAUAUUUAUAGGAAUCCACUAUAAAGUAGCCAAAGAAGCAGCUAAAUGGCAAUAAAAAGAAAGGAAAUAGGGUAGAUUCAUUAUUAAAGGCUAUGUGCAAUGCAAUUGAAAAUAUACCUACACAAAUAUAACUUACCUUCUUUAUUAGUCUUGCAUUUUCUACGGCUGCUCUAAUUUUCUGCUCUGAUAACAAUGAGCUACUUGAUCUGAGUAGAAUGAUCUUCUUCUCGGUAAAUUUAGCAAUAGAAGAGUGGUCAAAAUCAUCAAAUAACUUCCUGAGAAAAGAGUUCAUAACUAAGAUGUCAAAAGCACAACUAAACUCUGUUGUCGUAAAUAAGCAUUAGUGUUUUAAGACAAUAACUAUUACCUGAAUGUGCCUCUCUUCUUUAGAAUAGUUGGCCAGCUCAACUCUGCGAGAGCUUGCGAUAAUAUAAGUAACUCGAAUAGCUUUCGGUCAUCAAAUACCGGAGUUCCCCAUUCCUUAUCAUGGAAAGUAACAUAUAGAGGGUCUAGCAAGGAAGAGAGGAAUGAUGUGCAUAAAUACAAGUAUAUGUGCUUUAUCUUCAAACACAGUAUCCAAUUGCACAUAGCAUGCACUUGACAGAAAACCAGUGGUUUCAUUGUUAUCGUUCAUUUCUCAUUUACAAUGGCAAAUCGUGCCACCAAUCUCCGAACUUUUAGUAAGGUUUUAUUUUUGUCCUCAAACUUUUUAAGUUGGACAUUUGAUACUCUAACCAUCGAAAGUGUCCCAUUUUUGUCCUUAUCCUUAUUUACCAUCCUACACCUCAAGCAUCUCUCCGUUCAUGCACCAUGCAUCUAUCAACUCCUAAUCUUUCAUCUUAUAUUCAAAUCCUACCACUCAUUAACUUGCAGAGUAUUCUAUGUUUAAAAAAAUUGGAUAGUUGGAUUAAAACUGUGAGAUGCACAGAGGAACGAACGGGUUCGUGGUGCAUAGACAUACAAAUGAACCAGGUGCAAGAGAUAAUUUUUCUUUAAUUUGCAUAAGGACUUUGAAACAAUUCGGAAAGGUUCGGGGUCUCAAAUUUUGAACUUUUUCAAGGACCAAACUAUGAAAGAGGGAUUUUUAUUAUUAUGAUUAUUAUUUCUUAUAAACCAGUGGUUAAAUUUCGAGUUCUUAUUUCAAAAAUACUGUAUUUCUAGCUAGUAAAGUUCAAAUACCUAUUUCCAAAAAAUACACAAUGUGAGACUAUAUGGUUAGGGUAAUAUCAGUACAUUUUCACCUUAAUUACAUCUCAGCAAUAAUAUCCAAUUUCAUAUAAUUAGAAUCAAAUGAAGAGAUUACCUGAACAAAUUGAAAUGAUAAACCAAAACAAAAACCUAUUAAUGCCAUUAAAGUUAUUUAACUCACCAGAGUAAGGAGUUAUCCACGAACACCUCUUCUUCUCCAACGACGGCUCCUUCGGUAUCGAGGGCGACUCCGCCGCCGCGUCCGAAGCCUCGGGAGCGACCCUCGCGGCUCUCGCCACAUUCUUACGCCGAGCUCCCCCGACCUUCGCCGAACCCCGAUCGCACGAAGAGUCCGAGGAGCAGGACCCGGCUCCCGAUGCGUCGAAGCGGCCCGAUUCCGGCGGCCGAGUGGCCGGAUUCGGCCUACUCCUCCUCUCCGACCCCUUCUUCUUCGUCCCGGGCUCCGGCGCCGCCGCCGCGAUCUUCUGCUUCGAUCUAGGGUUUGCCCCCGACCUCAGUGCGACGGCCCCCGGCAUCGGACAAGGAGCGAAAUUCGGAGCCAAAAAGAGCGAGAUCCGAGGACGAUUGCAGUGCGACGAAGGAGAAUUGGAGGUGAUUGUGAUUGAUUUGGGCGAAAAACCCUAGAAAUUGGGUGAAAAAGGAGUGGUUUUGGGGAGGGUUAGAGAGAGAGAGAGAGAGAGAGAGAGAGAGGGGUUCGUGGCAGAGUUCGAAAUGGAGAGGGGGAACAGUACGGAGGAGGUGGAUUUAAACCGGGAACGAACGUAGGGCACGGGUGACCGGCAAUAGCCGGUUACCGGCUCUCGCGUGCCGUUUCAGUUUUUAAGAAAUGGGUGGAAUUCCAGAAAUGCCACUGGCUGUCGCGAUUUAUAUCACAAAUGCAACUAUCUCUAGUAGAUGGUUUUUUUUUUUUUUUUUUUUUUUUUUUUUUUUUUUUCCAAUUUAACCCUUUUUAAAGGAAUUUUUUUUAAUCAAGAAUCCAAGGCCUUAUUUGAUAUUGUGUAUAUAGUGUUUUUGCUUUUAAAAGUCGCUCCUUUUAACCAUUUUAUUUUGAAUUAUUUUCAUACAUGAUCCUACAAAUAUAAUAUAUAAUAAAUGACAAAUAUAUCUCUAUAAAAUUUAAUUUUUAUAUAUUAUUUCAACAAAAGUCUUUUAAAAAUAUUCCUAUCGUUAAAAUCCGCUAGAAAUAUUUAGUUAACCAUAAAUUAAAUACUUAAUUCUGAUUAGUUUUUAACAUUUUUACCUCUUUAUAUUAUAUUGUUAUGACUUUUGGAGGGAUAUAUUUGUGAUGGCAAAAUUAAAAAUAUAAAUAGUUUUCCAACGGUUCUCUAGCUGUAACAAAUCAGAGAAAUAUAUUUUAAAACAUUACGACUUUUGCAGUAACAACCUAUAAAAAUUAAACUUUAUAGGAAUAUAUAUUUAUCAUUCACUAUAUUUACGGGACCUAUAUGAAAUUAACUUUUUUAUUUUAUUCUUUUUUAGUUAAACCGUAUGGAGACGCUCUCAAUUAUAAAAAAAAAAAAUUUAAAAUAUGGCCGUCACAUUAAUAAUGUGAUAUUUUCAACCAAUCAAAUUACACCUCUAAAAUUUAUUCAUCCACCAUAAUUUUUUAAAAAAUAUUUUUAUUAUAUUUUUCUCUCAUAAUAAAAUACGUAAUUGACUGGAUAUAAAUGAUAUGAUGUGACUGUCACAUAAUAGAUGUCCUUCAAUUAUAGGUGAUUUCAAAAUAGGCCCAUCAACUUUUAUUUAUUUUUUUGUUUAAGAUACUCUUUGGUUCUAAUUUUUAAAAUCAAGUAAUUUUAAUUUAAAAAACUAAAAUCUUUUUAAAUGUAUUCAUGAUAUCAUCAAACUUAAUAAUUUUAAUUUUUCCAGCAAAUUAAACUAGAUCAAUCAACGUUUAAUAACUAAAAAAAAAACUAUUAAAUUUAAUAAAUUUAAAUUUAAAAGGUAGUUGAAAAUAAAAACUUACAAAAAUUUAAAAAUUAAAAAUAAAUAGUACAAAAUUUAUGUAAUUUCUGAACGUUGUUACCAAAAUACUAGAAGAGGUACCUCCAUAACAAAUGGCAGACAGUGGUUGAGGAGGGUAGAAUUGUAAUACCUGUUGUCUACGGAGGGUAAAAGAGUCAUUUGAGUUGGGUGACAAAACGCUUUUUGGCGACCCGUCGUAAUCGGUUGCUGGUGAACCGUUAAGAGAGUAGUGAGUGAGUGCGGUAGCUUGCCUCCAAAUUUCCAUACCGUUAAGCCCAAGCAUCAAAUUUUUUUUUUUUUUGAAUAAAUUUCAAAUUGCCCCCAAUAAUUUAGCUUAUUUUUACUCUACCAUCUCGUAAUUUAAAAAGAUUUUACUUUCAGCCCAUGCUUUAGCGCAUUUUUUUUACUUUGUCGCCUUGUAUUUUUUAAAAAAAAAUUAAUUUGUCAUUCUAUUUGAUAUAUAAUUUUUUUGGUGAAAUAAAAAUUAAACGCUAAGGUGGCAAAGUAAAAUUGAGCUAAGCCACAUGAGGGCUAUUUGAAAUUUACCCAAUUUUUUUAGAAAUCUAAUUCAAAGUCUCUGACAUGGGGAGACUAUAAAAUGCUAUUCUGGACUAAUUCCUAUGAGACAGUUUUUUUAAUAAUAUAAUAUUAAAGUUAAUCAUAAAAUCUAUUAUUUUUAUUAAGAUUGACUUCUAUAUUAUUCUCUUUUCGGUCAGGACAUGAAAUAUGAUUCACCUGAUGUCUAUUACGUAUAUAAGUAGAUUUGUUAAGAUUAAUUUUGGGCCAAUUCCUAUGGCAUCAAUCUUUGGGGUAACGUUUAGCAUAAUAAUUAGAAUUGUCUCAAACAUGUGAGUUCACUCUGAGAAACCUUUUUGGGGACACAAGCUUGGAUUUAGUUUCAAACACAUGGCUUUGCUGUGAGAUAUCUUCUGAGGAUCCAGUUUCAGAAUCAAAGACAUAUGAUGCCACUCUGAGAUACCUUAACAAUCAUUGUUUGGUUAGUUCCAAGGAGACAAAGAAAAAAAACUAUCCAUUUUAAUUUUUUUUAAAAAAUAAACACAGCUAAAAAAAAUUUGAGGCUUCGAAUUUGUGAUCUUAGAUACCAACCAUCGAGUGCUUAGCANAGUUUCAAACACAUGGCUUUGCUGUGAGAUAUCUUCUGAGGAUCCAGUUUCAGAAUCAAAGACAUAUGAUGCCACUCUGAGAUACCUUAACAAUCGGUGUUUUUUUUUUUUUUGAGAGAAAAAGAUAACAUACUAUCCAUUUUAAUUUUUUUUAAAAAAUAAACACAGCUAAAAAAAAUUUGAGGCUUCGAAUUUGUGAUCUUAGAUACCAACCAUCGAGUGCUUAGCAAAUUGCACCAGAUACAGUCGCGAAGUUGGUAAUUAUUAUAACCCUUCAUUCCAGGUUAUUAUAUCCUUAACUGAUAUCUCAAGUAAAGAAAAAUCCAGGAAAUUAAAUGGGGAUGAUGAGAAAGGUGCAGGACAUAAAGGAGGUGCAGCUCCCACUUCUCAACGGCUACAUUCUCUAUUUCAAAAUUGUGACCAAACGGCUGUUGAUUACCAGUUUAAUUUGCUCACCCUCCAAAUUAAGACACAAUAUUUUAAUAUAGCAACCUUUAUUGAAAUAAGAUCAGAUUCAUUGGAUCAGAUUCAAAUGAACUACUCUGUCCAAAUGUAAAAUCAUCUUUAUUAAUAACAUCACAUCACUCCACUUCGUGCGCUAGUACAGGACACAACUGGUACCGCUUGAUGCCUUUUCUUUCAGAAAUGUACUACACUCAAAAGUGGAGCGUAAGCUUUACAUCCACACAUCCAACAACUUAAAAUCUUUUUUUCAUUCUUACUAUUAUAAAAAAAAUAAAUAAAUAAAUGGAUAAAAUGUAAAAUUUAUAUCCACUUUUUGAGCAGUAUUGCUAUUUUUCUUUGGUAUGGCCAUCCUUGCAUGAAUCUGAUAACAAAACACAAUGCAUCGUGAGAACCAUGCUAACUAAGCACUCAGAAUUUAUGAUACUGAAGAGGUGUUUUAAAUUAUUUCUUCGUUGCAUUAGAGAUCCUAUAAUUGGUAUUAUCUAAACCUAGGGUUUAUUAGGGUUUAAUACGCCUUUUGUAUUUGGAUUAUUCUUUCAUCCCAGUUAGGGGCGGCAAUCACUCCAACCCGACUAGGCGAACUUUAAAACUUAAAAAGGGAGUUAAACACACAGAAAUAUCUAUUUUCUGGUGAAACCGCAAGAAUUGUCCUUAACAUGAUUUGUGUAUUUUGCCCACCAUUCCAAAUUAAGUAAAGUUUAACUUCGAGUGUAUCCAGACAAAAACAAUUUGGUUAUUGGGGCAAAUUAGAUCAUCGUACCGGAUUUCCUAUUAUAAUUUUAAGGAUGAAUUACACUUUUGGUCCUCAAAUUAUGAGGCCCGUGACACUUUAGUUUCCGAACUUUAAUUCGUUGGAAUUUCUAACUCGUACUAUGAGGUGCACGAUACUUUAGCGUCAAACUUUAGUUGGUUCAAAUUUUUGGCUCGAAUUAUGAGAUAUGUGACAUUUUAAUCAUCGAAUUUUUUGAAUCGUAGCAAUAUCCUAUUUGAUGAUACAAUAAUAAUUAAAAUUGUAAUAAUAUCCUACUUGAUAACGCAAUAAUAAUUAAAAUUAUAGCAAUAUCCUACUUGAUGAUGUAAUAAUAAUUAAAAUACUACAUUACGUCGAUAUUAGUAAUUCUUCCAUACUUAUUCAAAAAAAAUUCGAUUGUGGGAUUUGGUUGUCACAAUUCAGAAAGUUCGAGAACUAAAACUUAACAUACCUCAUAGUUUAAGCCAGAAAUUAUACCAAAAUACCACGCACCUCAUAGUUUGAGCCAUAAAUUACAACUAAUUUAAAAUUUGAGAAUUAAAGUGUCACGCACCUCAUAGUUUUGAGGACCAAAUGUGUAAUUUACCUUAAUUUUCAAUACUUCAGUUGUAGAAAUUCUAUUAAAAAAAAUAAAACAAUAAAAAGAAUAAAACAACAAUGACGCCAAAGGAGGCCAAACUUUGUUAUUUAGAUAAAGGGAAGGUUGUGUCGAUUGCGAGUAACUCCAAUUAACCAACACAUGUGAAAGGAAAAUGGAACAAGAAAGCAUAAAGCGUACAUCAACAUGUAACAUAGUUACCUUAUUGUCCAUUACCUAUUGUUAGAGAUGCCAUAUUAUGUUUUCCUCCAACACUUUCAAAAUUAUGCAACACAAAGGGUUUAAACAACAAUUUAUUCCACUUAUCAGCUAGGGACAAUUCCAUAUAUAGAUUAUUGGCUAUAAAGAUUGAGAGAUAUUUCAUAAAGGGUUCGGAUAAAUCGAUAAUGUAGCUGGGAUAUUGAAGAUGCAGGAGGGGACAAUGAGCAACUCAUGAGCUUACCCUGAUGGAUUCAGUAGCCUUUUUAAGACACUUCCUUUACGCUGAUAGGUUCUGUAGCCUUUUGAAGCCACUCCAUUUCCUGCUCAUUCAUAUAUGGUGCUAAAACUUUUCUGCAUUCAGCAUGGUAUGAGUUCACCCAUUUAAUCUCGUCGACGUUCAGCAAGGUCAGGUCCAUUAGUUUCUUCUGGUAUGGGGCCUGCAUAGUUACCUCUCAUCAAUUUCAAAAACUACAAAAAUAUCGGAAAAAGAAACCAAGAGACCCUUAGCUAUUUAAAUUGUUAACAUAACAAAUUACACCCGUAUUCCUGAACCAUAUCCGCUACAUUUGUAUUCAUUAUUGUAUACGAACUCAUCCCAUACAAAAAAAAGAAGUGUCAAAUAGCUUGAUAGUAUUUUUCAAGCUCUUCUAUUUCGAAGGAACAGAAAAAGGAAAUGAGGCAUAAAAAUGCCUUUGAGAUGGUGAAUUAAAAUCAGCCUAUCAAGCCUUAGGUCAUGUCAUCUGUAACUGCCAAAAGAAUGAAACUGUUUCCAACGGAUGAGAGAGACGUAUUUCUCAUUCCUAAUUCUUGGAGAUUAGUAAUGACCAAAGCUAAUCAAAAUUUGGUCCAAAUUGACCAAAAUACAUUGUGUUAAGCCAACUAAUCCAAAACAAGCCGAAGCUAAUUGAAUCCCCAAAAUUUCCUGAGUUUUGUAUUUAGUCUCAGUUGAACCUUCAGAACUCGUGCCUUUAAACAUCGAGAUGUAAAUAGGAAUACUCUGAUCAAACUCAACUUGAAAAAUCUAAAGCAAAGUAAUGUGAACGAAGAACCUCAACAAGCAAAAUAUUUCUUUACCCAUGAUUAUUAAUUAUUAUUUUAAGCAAACUACUUGUCAAAGUUUCGGAAAUGAGAGAAAAAACAACAGUAAAGACAAGGUUAACAGUCAAGCAUACCCAUGUUAUGUGCUCAAACUCUAAAUAGCCCUUUUCACCAAAAUUGAACUUCGUAUUAGCCUCGUUGACUAUAAGAACGUUCUCCAACCUUAUACCAAAGCUCCCAUCUUCAUAAUAACCAGGUUCUGCAAGAAAAGAAGUGAAAAUUUAUCUUCAAAUCUUUAUUGGAAAUUUCUUAAUAACUCAAAAAUUCACAACUGUAAUUUUAAUAGUUCAAUGCAUCCGAAGAAAAAUUGCAAGCACGUAAUGUCAAAUGAUUACCAGCCUAAGAUACUGUACGACACCUAAAUACAAAAUAAGGAUGGUUAACAGUUCAACAUCUUAAUGAAAAACACUUAUGUUUUAUGUUCACCGUUCACUUAAAAACUGAGAAUCAGGAAGUAGUAAAACGUAAGAAACAGCAUGACACAGUGCAAGGCAGAUGAUAACUUAGAGCAAAUGUUCAUUUUCUAACACCUGGCGGAAUGCGGUAAGCUAAACGGGCAUUUAGCCUUUUGUUACUUGAAAUGCAUGAGUUCACAAAGCAACUCUAUUUGCUAUCCUAUAGUAUCCGGUAUAUUUCAAACAAGGAUUAAGUGCCCAUCGGCACGAGCCGUAUCCAUCGUGCCGUAUCGUGCCAGCAAGAUAUCAACACGAUACAGCCUCUGUACCGAUGGCACAACUCAAAACUCUCUAUUCUUGAAAUUAGUAAGUAAUUUUCUCAAUAAAGUUCAAAAGAUUUGAUUAAAAAUACAUAAUAAAUAAUUGAUAUAUUUUGUUGCUAAAGAAAAUAAAUAUUUCCUGCCAUUACGUGUCGGCAUAGAUAUAUUUAUUGUGACCGGUACGCAUCGGCACGAUCCGGCACGCACCGUGCCGACAAGUUGCCGGCACGACCCCAUGCCAUGGCACUUAAAUCCUUGAUUUCAAAGAUCUACAAACUGUUAGUUUUGGAAUUUUGAAUCAUAAAGUCUUUCCUUGAGUUAAACAGAAUGGGCCCUUACAUUAUAAGUUUGAACUUCCUGUUAAGUGAUGAAUUGAGAUUCUGACUGUUAAGCAGCAGGAAGGUACUUAUUCAUGAGCUAUGAAGAAGUAAAUUCCCGUAGGAAGUUAAAAAUUAUCUGCAAACACAAUGCAUUUUUAUCCAAAAAAAUAAAAACAAGAACAUGAGUUAUCUAGAAACAGCUCAUCCUAAUAUCCGGGAAGGGGCAAUUUUUCAUAUAUCUGCAAAAUAUGAACUGGUCCAGAAUUUAAACCUUAAAACAGCACAAGGAAAAUAUCAUAGAGUACAAACCAUCUGUCACAGUCAUCGACGAUUGCAAUGGCACAUUCCGAGCAUGAGGCUUGAAACUAAUUAGAUGCGGUCCUGAUAAAAGAUAUAUACCAAAUUAAAAGUUGCCAGAUUAUAGAUGCAGCAUAGAAAGUAUUGAAAAGAUAUGAACUAGAAGCUAACCUUCAUGAACAUUUAGAUAUGACCCAAUUCCAUGACCUGUACCAUGUCGAUAAUCAAGACCAUUCUUCCAUAAAGGAGUCCGAGCAAGAAUAUCAAGAGCAUGACCUGUAGAAAGCAAAAUCAAGGACAUCACUACAAAGAGAGCUCAUCUAAUUAGCAUAUUGUGAUCAAUGAGAAUCUUUUGUCCCUUCACAUAGCUGGAGUGAGAAGGUAGGAUUUGUGGUUGCUGCAUAGCAUUGUUACACAUAGGCUCAAAUUCGAAACUUCAAAUGAGGUCUUAUCCAAGGAUUGUCCGUGCCAUCCGCGCCGUCCCAUGCCGAGGCCAUAACAGCACAUGGCACACGGGCAUGCCGACACCAUAUAAACAAAAUAGUUUUUUUGAAGUUUUAACAGUCUUUUUAAUGUCUUUUUGAGGUAGAAAGUUUUACAAGAUUUUUUCAUACUUGAACUAUGUAGAUCUUGUAAAACUACUAACAUUUAUUACAACUAGAGAGUCAAAUUGCAUAAUGUUGAUCAUCUUUUAGUGAAAAAAAAAAAGAUACAAAUAAGAAGAUAUCCCUAGUUUUUUAUCAUUUUAGAUGUAGUGAAUUUAACUAUGGUAGUAGUUUCCUAUAAAUUUUUACCCAAUUAGGACUUAUGUUUUCACGCAUAUACUUUUAUAAUAUAUAUAAAAUGAUUUUUUUUUUAGUUGUUAUGAUAUUUUUGACUCUAUUCAUAACAAAAUGUCCAAGAUAUAAAACACUUGAGCCAAGUAGAGAAAUUAAAACAAAUUAAAAAGCUUAUUUUUUAUGACAAUGACCAUGCCAAUGCAUGUCAAUCUGCCACUGCCGUGCCACUGGCACAGAGGGGUGUACCAACGGUGACAUGUCUCGUGCCACACUGCCAUGCUAUGCCAUGCCACACCACUGGCAUAGUGGCACAAGCCAUGCCAGUGGCAUGACAAUUCUUGGUCUUAUCAUAAAUACACCUAAGUACUUGUUAAUCAUUUUUGUAGCAUUUUAUAUGUAAACCUUCACAAGGUAAAAAGUUGCUUAUUUUACUUCUGAAUUUUUAACAUAUAUUUCAUAAUUUUAAUAAUUCAAGGAAAUCCAUUAGGCCGUCCUUAUGCCUUCAGCUUAUGCCAUUGUCACUUAUAGUUGUAAAAGCUUUGCCCUAGGCCUCUGUUGAUGAAUGCUGGAGACAGUUUAAGUGCACUUAAAUUCAAAUUAAUACACAAGGAAAAGGUGUUUCAAAUUGGCAUACCAGUUGUCCCAUUAGGAAAUAUGGCAGUGUCCAACGCAAUAUGGCCUUUCAGGACCUAGGUCACCGGGAGAGUAAUAAGUUAGAUUUCCAUCAUUAAUUACAAGUAAACGAUUGCCGCAAACAAUACUAUAACUAAAUAACCAGGAAAAACUUCAGAUUCACCAUUGUACUAAAAUCACAUUGUAACUUGUUGGGCUAAAAUCAACAUAUAACUUGUAAAGAAAAUAUGUUACCAUGUAUUGCUACCACUAGAGGAAGUGGUUCAGAUCAGCUGUCUAAUUACCAAAAAAAAAUUGAGAGCUCAGUGCUUCAAAUUGUGUUAUAUAAUUACGGAAAAAAAUUAUGAACUUGCCAUACAGAUGGAUUCAGGAAAAUACAUUAUGAGGACUCAAACAUCCAUAAAUCAAGCUUAAAGGUAAUCUGACAUGUCAAAUUGAUGUGGCCCAGUUUGGUAACUCUGAGUUGGGUUCAGUUCCAGCAAUUUACGUCCAACUAAAGCUGUAAUAUAUUUAAUCGAGUAUAUUUGAGAUAAUUUUGAUCUAGAACUUGUCAAAAUUGAGUCUCCUCAAGUUUGUUUCCAUUAUGUUUCUUUUUCUUCUCUUUUGACAUUUGAAAGAACUUUUGUGUAUAAAAUUUUGCUGCUUGGGAAGCCCAUAGUGAAGCCCUGAGUUUGAAAAUUAAGCAGUUACUUGAAGGUCAUCCACGUAAACAUCUCAGAUCUCACAUCAAGCUUAAAUUCCGGGUUACUCAACUUCCAGUUGUUUCAGACUUCAGGUUUUCCUCAGCUUUGAAUCAUUUCAGAUUUUCAUUCAGGUUCGGGUUAUGUCUAGUCUUCUAUUGUUUAGGUUAUUCCAUGUCUUCAGGGGGGUUUGGCUUUUCUGGAUUUCAGACCAUUGAGGUUGCAAGUUAUUUGACUUCAAGUCUUAAUUGCAUUCCUGAUAUCAGGUGCAUCAAGUUAUACUUGAACUGCUUUGAAUUUAGGCUAUCUCGAGUUCAGGUCACUUUGUGUUUGGUUUCAGGUUUCCAAUUAUUUGUGUUCUUAGGCUUGCUCAGUGUCAAGUUAUUCAUUUCGGUUCGGAUCAAUUAAAUUGGAAUUCACACUCUCCUUACAAUGAUGGCAAUAAGUCACAUGGCACAUUUUACUUUUAAGCCCAUGGACUAAAAACACAGUAAACCAUAAGGUUGUAAUGCAGGCCGUGCCAACUGCCAACAUUAACCCGUCGAAACAGGCCAGGAACUGGCCUGGCCUGAAUGGGCUUCGAAUCCGAGCCAUGCCAAGCCGGCCUGGAUGUUCCGAACCUAUAGCCCAGCACGGCCCUCAGGCCAGGACCACAUGGCCCGGGCAGGGCCCGGUUGGCCUUUUAUAUAUUUUCUUUAAAUUUUUUAAAUUUAUAUAGAUUUUUUAAAAUUUAAAAGGACCAAAAUACCCCCCAAAAGUUAGAAAAAUCUAAUGGUUAGAGGGAUUUUUUGUCCAAAAGUUUGAAAUUCAAUUUUUUUUUUUACUUUUUUCUUAUAUCUACGCUGGAAGGAACGGGUGUUGGGAAAUAGGCCACCCCCUCCCUCCUUUGUGGGCAGUUGGUCCCUGGACAGUCCAGGGACCAACUCCCCCAAUAGAGGCUUGGGAACUUUUUUUUUGAAUCCUGUAUAUUUUUUUAUUUAACUUUUAAACUUUCUUAUAUUCGUAUUAUAAGAUAUCUAAUAGUUAUUUAAAAACUUUUAAGAUAACUUUUUUUUUAAUAAUUUCAAUAUAUUCAUAAUAUAUGUAUAAAGUAUAAAAAAUAAUAAAAAAUUUUGUUCUAGAAGGCAUGGUCUGCAUCAUGUGCAGGCUGUGCCGGACCGGGCUAUGGGCCUCCUUAGCAGAGCCAGCACGGCCCCUGGCCAUGCCAGGCCGGGCCGGCCGAUGGGGCUGCCUGGCCCGUUUUACACCCCUACUCAGACAGCUAGAAAUAUGGUAAACCACUCGGUCUGUUUUAGACAAUUACACUUCACUUUUGAGGAAACAGUAUUGAAAGUGAACAACCCUCACACACAACACAGACUACAAAAUAGUCGCUCCAUAGAAAAAUAUGCAGAAACUAGUGCAACAAAACCACAUAUAUGCCCCCAUCCAUUCUUCACCUAAUGUUUAGCUGAUUAAAUGAGUCCAUUGAAACCUUACAACCUAAGAUCCAUGAGCUUAAGGUUUGUGUAUUCCUAGUAAACUAAAAAUGAACUCAUAUUUUGACAAGGAUUGGAUAAAGAAAGUCACUUACAGCAGUAUAGCAUGAUUUUUCAUGUGCCGAAGGUUUCCCAAAAUGGACAGUCCUUGUUAUAUCCGUUGUACCAUCCAGAUACUAUAAGAAUAUGCAGUGUAAGCCAAUGACCCAUUGAAAGAAUAUAAUGUAAAACCAUGAAAUCAAUGAGGUAGGUUAAGGAAGCAACAGAAAAGGGCAAAAAAGAAGAGGUGUGGAAGAAACCUGUGCUCCCGAAUCAAAUAGGUAUAUUUUGUCAGCAUCAAGUUCAGAACAUGUACUUGGCUCUGGAGAAUAGUGAAUGACUGCUGCAUUUGGACCAACUGAUGAAAUGGUAGGAAAACUCAAUCCUCUGAAGUGCUGAGGAAAUAAAACAACGGUUAUCAAAAUUACAUAACCAUGAGAGCAAAAUAUGGAAUUUCAACAUUCAUGAUAUGAGGUUUGUUCAAACAACAAAGCUGAAGUACUUAGGCUUAGCUUGGUAUUGAGGCGGAGCUUGGUAUUGAGGCGGAUCUAACGCUAUUAGAUAGAAUGGAGUUGAGAAAAAGUAUAUAGGGAUAUGCUUCUGCUUUCUCCGAUAGGACCGUAGAAAAUAUAUCACAACCGACUAACCACAAUAUAUGGAACGGAAUAUUACAUACGGAAACAAACAGGGUAUUUUCCUAUCGUCGUUUCUCACCGCACGUAACGCAAUCUCCCCGCAAUCCCAAACGAAGCCUUAGUUGGCAAGCAACACGAGUACAAAGUACUUAGUUGGCAAGUAACAUGAGUACAAAUGACUUUCUUAUAAAAUAAGAACCAUGUUCUAUUACAACUUUUCACAUCUUCGUAUGGAAGUUCGCAUACUUCCAUAUCACCAUAGGGGGUAAAACACAAUAGAAGAUGUACAACUAGUAAAACACUAGAAGAUGUAAGAGUAAAAGAUGAUUAUUAAUUCAGAAAAAGAAUGAUCAACAGAUUCCUAUAGUAGCAAGCACGUGAAAAAAAAAAAGAAAAAGAAAAAGUGAAGCAGCCAAUAUUUCCACUAAGGAAAAGAACUAGAUGCAAAACAGUGACAUCAAUAGAAACUACAAGCCAAUGAGUGGCCCGAAAGUUGGGAAGCUUAUAGUUAAAAAACCAUGAAAGUAGUGUCUAUAUUUAUCUCAUCAUCUAUAUUCUAUAGUCUAGCCUGACAUCCCAUGAUACCCUCCUACUAGGCAUAAAUAGGUAAAGACUACAGAAGGAUAUCCUUGGCAUGUAAUGGUGAUUGAACAGGUAUUUUAUAUCAAAUUAUAAGCAAGCAGUCUCAUGUUUGACAAUGAACCCACAUAGGAUGCUCCAAGAUUUCAAAAAUCUACAGUAGUAUCCUAGAUGUUCUAGUUAAUACAGGGUCUGGCACGAACGAAAUGAGUGCAGCCUUUAACCCUCGUAAUUACAGUUAUUUCUGUGACUAAAAUAUGAACAACUAGGACAUGGGAAAAGUAAUAACCAUCGCAUAAAGUGAUACCCUCAUUAUUUGCUCCAUUUGACCUUGUAUAGUACAAUUUUUGCAUUUCCUGCUAUAAUCAAUAGGGGUGGUCAAAAACACAGAGUAUCACAGUGUAGAUUAUUUUCAGUAUGCACAUUUUGUAAUCUCAGUAAUUACAGUACCUAAUCCCCUUAUGUAUAUUGCAAAUUUAUGUAACAACUUGAUGAGCUUGACAGACUAAUGCUAUAGUAAAAUAAGGAAAUGUAGAGAAAUCAAGAUAUUUCAAGUUUUCAACCAUAUUUUUGGCCCUCAAAAAUGAUAAAAUAAAAAGGUGGCCAAUGAGAAAGCUAAUGACCUUGGAAACAUAGUUUAAAGAGAGUACUUAUUCCAUUAGAAAAAUCACAAAGCUUAAAUAGCACUAGAUAAAGCAAACAACAAUAACAGUUAUCAUUCCCAUAAGCAAUCAUUGUGCUGGAAAGACUUCUUGCUACUGCUAGGUAAAAUUCAUUCCUCAAGUUGAUAACCUGAUUGACAGAAUCUCAUUGAAAUAAAAGUUUGUCAAAUAGUUGCCAAGUGACAAUAUAUCAGAAGGCAUACCUCUUGCUUGGCACGAAAACCCUCUAGUUUGUUACUCACAGAUACCUCAGGAAGUUUUACAGAAUUUCUGCAGGAAUCAUAACAGGAGAGAAACGUGACAAUGGUUGAGAAUCAGAUAUACAUAAAAGAGCGGAAGAAAGGAAUGGGAGAGCAGCAGUCAAAUGACAUUACUUCGUGACAAAGUUUCAGAUAUAUACUAUAUACAAUGGUAUCUAAUUUUCCUAAUACCACAGUUCCUCUGUAAAUAAAUUUAUGCCUUAAAUAAUAUUACUUAAAAAAGUUGGAGAAAGUAAAUGGUUUUCUUUGAAGAUUAAGCAGCUAUGAACUGAUAGAUAUACUUUCAGUAACACCAGCUGACCUAGAACUGACAGGAAACAGGAAACAACGGGAAAAGAAGAGAAAUGGAAGAUCGAAAGCAUGAGAUAUUGCAUUAAAGCAUGUCCAUAAAUAAGUAUUAUAUCAUCUCUAAAUUGUAACUUACGAAUGUUUUCUCGUGUUUGACCCAUCUGGCUCAUUGAAGUAACCAGCAGCUCCAUAUAUCUCCUGCAUCUGCAAUAAAAGUAAAUGCAGCUAAGUCAUAUCUGAUAUAUGCCUGGCAAAAAUUGCAACUACUGCAGUAUUUGUCAUCGUAAACUUCCACACUAUGUUGAUAACCGAGUUUGCUCCAGGUUGUGGUGGCAGUUAUUGCAAAUGGAAGGGGCACCUAUGAAAAGAGAAAUUCAAUGAUCGAUUCUCUUAACAGCUUACUAAGACUGCCAACUUGAGCUUCUAGGGGUGGCUAUAAAAGGACAGAUUCAAUGAUCGAUUCUUUUAACAGCCCAUUAAGACUGCCUACUUGAACAGCUUCUCUAAUUCAAAAGGCAGCAGCCAGGUGCACAUUCUUCACUGGCUUAACUAUAUAACUUUUACCAAAUUAAUUGUCUCAUGAUUCACAGAUCAUAUAGAGCUAGAAAAUAUUGGACUAAAGGAAACUAGGAAUGAAUCAGAGCAUAUAACACAUUUUGAAUAUUUUCUUAUUGAUUCCAAACUAAGAUAGUCACCUUCAGGAUGACUUCUAAAAUAAACAGCUGCAAAAAAAUUUCUAAAUAGAUUUAACAGCAUCAGGGUAAUUAAAAGUGAAUACAAUAUGCUAGCUUUCUUUUCUUACAUCAUCACCUAAAAUAUCUGCUGUGGAACUUUCAUUUAUAAAAUAGUUUUUGGUAAAUAGUUUUCCUUCUUGUUCUCAUGUUCUGUCUCUCCUUACUAACCUUUCUACCUGCAUGGUUCUGUACCAAAACUAACACAUUUUCGUGAACAUAAAUAUGCUUUCGAAGUUGUUUGUUGGAGAAAUCACUGUAAGGCACAAAGGCAAUAGUAUGUGAAAUUUAGCUUUAGCUAACCUGAUUAUCUAGCCAAACUAGAUAUUGGACAACAGCAGCACCAUCCCGAAUAUGCGCCUUCCGUAAGCCAUCCAGUUCUGCAUGAUUCUACGCAAUGACCAUCUAAGAAAUUAAUAAGAAUAAACAAUAUUUUCUUAUGUAUCAUAAAAGAAGAACAAUAAAAAGGAAAUUGCAGACAAGAGACGAUAUUUAAAUACUUUCACAUUACCUCAAACAUUUAAUGAUAACCCAAAAAUGCAAAAGCGAAAAAGCAAAGAGAUAUCAAAGAGUAAGUACUGCCACAUAAGUACUUCCAUUUAAUUUAAAUGAUACAUACUACUCAUAGGUGAGUCCACCCCACAAGAAAGAAAAGCAAAAAAUGAAAAACAAAACAAAACAACUAUAAUCAGUUGACACGCAAAAGUAGGCAUAGCCAUCAUAAAACUUGCAAUAAGCUGGUGAUAUCUAGACACAAGAACGCUCCUAGCCUACCAACAACCAACUUAGCAACCAAGCCAAACACAAGGAAUCACCUAUAAUGUACAAUAAGAUGACACAUUAUAAAACAUAUUUCUGACCCUUGACCCCUAAUGAAUCAACAUGGUACUGUCUUUUCAGUAAAAAUAAGAAAAGAGUCUCCUCUGCCAACUCUGCAAGCACAAGUGGCUUUGAAGUUGUUUAACCUUUGUUUUAUGAUGUCUUAAAGUUAAACUUAAAAUAAGAGACUGCCUUAGAUUUCUCCAACAGUCAUUGAGUAAUACAGAGACCUCUACAGCUACUGUAAAACCACUAUGCAGACAGAAAAGAGAAAUGGAUAAAUAUGAAAACAAGUUGAGAUAGUAAGUAUUUUACAUCUUCAAUUGGUUAAGUUAUAAAAAAAUGACGAGCACAAAAGAUUAGCUAUCAUGAUGCAAAGUAGAAAAUCUGAAUGAGAAUUUCACUCAAAAUGAAAACUGCAUGUAGAGAAUGCCAUCCCAGUAAAUGUUUUCAAAACAAUGGUCCUAAAAAUCUAGUAUCAUAAAAGCCGACCUCCAAUACUUUGAAUGAACACCAUUUGUCUACCUCUCCUUCUAAAUUUACUAGGCCUAGUUCAGUUUAGGUUUAAUCAAAACUCAGUUCUCCACAUACGAAGUUCAGUAAGGUCAAUUCCAGAUGACUCCAAACCAAAAUAUAGUUCUAAUAACUUAAGCCCAUUAAGCUCCUCUUCACUGGAAAAGGUAAUCUAAAUGAGAUCAGCUUAUUAUACCUUAACAGCUUUUGCGAGAGCCAAAGGUGAUGGCUGCAUGAAGACCUGAUCAGCAGCUAACUUUGAGUACAGGGCGAGAGAGCAUGAAUUUGGAUCAAUCCAAAUUCUGUUGUUUUUUGUCUCUUCCGCUGCAUUUUCAACAGGUCCUGUCACAUCUUUUCCAUUUUCUUCAACUCCAUGAGCUCCAUUGGAUUUCAGUUUCCCAGAUCCAAGCAAGCUUACAUCUAAGUCGACACUGCCAUAAUCCUUGAUUUCUAUUCCAUUUUCAGUCAUGUAAGCCUGUAUCUGCAUUCAGUCAAAAUUUAUAAAAAAGAGUUGAAGACAUUAGUGCAGGCAUACUUAAAAUUCAUUAAACAUAUACAAGAAUUACCAGCUUAUCAAACCAUGAGUUCUCCUAACAUCCUCUGAUAUAUAACAAAAUGGUUUUUGGACCCAUUAGGCCUAGCUUUUCAGCUUUGGUGCGAUUUGCCACUGGAGCGACCUGUUUGGGAGCCGCUUUUUGGGCUACGGUGUGUCUCACCAGCACAAAUAACAGCUGCACCACUAUACCUCAAGAGCUGAAGCUCUUGCAGAGAGCUCUGCAGCGCAUUCCGAUUAAUGAGAAUUGCUAGGACAAACAGAUCCUUGGCUUAUUUGAUGGUUAUCAGUUGGAAAUCUGACCUCCGUAGAAACUUUUCUUUUGUCCACAUAAAAGAAAGCAGAUUGCAAUGUCACAAUAGCAUAAGCAUGAAUCACCGGGCAGUACGCUACAUCAUUCCCUCGAACAUUGUACAACCAAGCAACCUAAAAAUGCAUGUACAAAAAUAAAUAAGUGACUACUAUAAAUAUUUAUUGUAACAAUAGAUGCAGUCAAAUAAACAAAUAAAAUGUACAAGAAAAAUAAACAAAUAAAAUGUACAAGAAAAGCAUGAAGGGAAAAAUUGAUACCUCAUCAAGAGUUGUGAUAACAAUGCCAUUAGUUUUCUCUUGCAGUAGCUUUUCUCUCAAGUCCUCUAACUUUUCUGCUACACUAUGCCCUGCAACUUCUAAUGGAUGUAUAGAUACAGGCCGAAUUUCCACAGGAGGACGGUCCUUCCAAACUUCAUCCACCAAAUUAGUGGACAGCUGAAAUAGUUUCUGUUUAUUCUUCGCAAAAGCAUGUUCAUAUCUUUGAGCAGUUUCCACAGACACACACCAUGGAUCGAUUCCAACAACAGCGGCACUUGGUAGAUUCUGAAAGAAAAAACACAAUGUUGGGAAGUUAAAUUGAUCUCAUGAUUAACGAUACUACAUAACAAGCAAAUAAAGCAUCAAACUAUACUAUUUUAUCAAUUUGAUAUAUCAUAUCCAGCCAAUCCAUACUGAAGUUAACUCAAGAAACCAUUGCCCAUUCAUGUUGCUAGUAAAUAUAAGUCAAUAAUCCAUCUCUAAGAAGAUGCUGAUCUUAAUCCAUAUUAGUUAUUUCAAAAUUAAACUUGUCACAAAAUGUCGACACGUAAGAACUAUACAAGGGAAAAGAAUAAAAAAAACAAAAAACAAAAAACAAAGUUACCAAAAGAAAAAAUAACUUCUCACAUCAGCUAUCCAAGUUUCAACUCCCGGGUCUUCUCCUAUACGCAUAAGCUUCCAUCGAUUGCUAAGCUGUUGUGUCGCUUGCAAGAAAUAUCGUCCAUCCGUCCACAGCAAUGCCUCACUCAUUGUUAUGAGAGCCAAACCUAUUAAAAGAUGUAAAAUUACAUGUACUCUAGAAUAGCAAGAGCCGACAUAACCAAAGUUUAAAAUCACAAAACAUGCAAACAUUAAUUUGAUGAUCAGAGAAAAUUAUAACCUAAUUACAAAUUCCACAAAAUUCAUUGCUUUGCAAUCCAAUCAUAAGGACUUCUUUCAUCAUUUUCAUUUAUCUUAUCAAUUUUUUUUCAUCUGAUUCCAUCCAAUAUCUAAACAAAAAUAAACCCAUUUGGAGUAAUCAAAUUUAGAAAUUCCAAAUUGUUAUUGUAGCAUUCUUUGCGUAAUGUACAUAAAAUAAGGAAAACACAACUAACUCAUAAUUAUAUCAAAAAAAUAUUCUCUUCCUUUGUUGAUCAUCUAAGCUAACACAGAAAAAGAGCAGUAUAACAACAGUUUCGAGUAAAUAAGUUCAUCUCAAACUAAAUUGGGUUAAAAAUGUUCGAAGCCUCACCAGCGCUUCCGGUAAAUCCCGACACAAAUUGCCUCCUUUUAUCCCUCUCGGAGACAUACUCACUCUGCCAAACACAUUGCACACGUUAGAUAUCAAACACUCCCCACUUCAAAUCAAACUUAGCUACAAAAAUUAAACAGUUUCUACACUCGACAAAACACGGAACCAAUCCAGCCCCCAAGGAGAUCAAUCGAGAUCCUAAACUCAGCCAAAUCGGAAGCGGAGAUGAACCCUAAACUAAGACGAUCGACGAUUCCUCCUCGAUCGAGAGGGGGAACCCUAGGGAGAGAAGGGCGAAGGACCUGGUGGUUGUCCUCGGAGGGGACGACGAGGGCGUCGAGGGGAGGGGAAUGGGACGUCAUUAGGGCUCGAAGAGCGUCGAGGGGAUCCGCCAUGGAUUUCGCUUCGCCUCGCUUCGCCUUGCGGAAUCGGUGUGAUCGUGGGAACGAAAUGGGGGAGGAGAUGGCGUAGCAGUAUUAUCGCAGGGCGCGGAUAUGCUGUACACCGGAGGGGGUAGUGCAUAGUGUGACUCGCUGCGAGGAAUCAACCAUUGAGUGGACCGGGUUCGCCACAUCAUCCAUGGACCGCACCAAGUUGUUGUACGGAGUAUAGUUAUAUGCUUCACAUGAAUUAUUCACAAAUUAUUAAAAAUUCAAAUAAAAAACUGUAUAUAAUUUGUUUCCAAGAAAUCGGAAUAAAACAUGAUUUUUUUGCUUAUAUUUAUUAUUCACGAAUAAUUCGAGUAUGAAACGGAUAAAAUUUUUGGAUAAAAUUUUUUUCUGAAUUAUUGACGAAUUAUUUGUGAAUUAUUAAAAAACUUUAUGAAUUUUGAAAUAUGUGGAUCAUGAAAAAAAAUGAAGAUGAAGGCGACAAUAAAAUUUGCUAUUAUUUUUUUUUAUCUAAUCUACUUUAUUUUGUAGCUCUGUUUUUUAUAUUCUUAAGAAUUUAUAAUUAUGUAUGCUAAUAGUAUAAAUUUAGAGAAAAAAACUUAGUUUAAUAACCAAAUUAUUGAUCUAGAAUUUUUAAUUGGUGAAUGUAUAAUUUUUAUAUAAAUUACAUAUCCGAAAAAUUAGUGAAUCCGUUUUUUAAGCCAUAUUUUUCAACAAAUUUAAAAAUUAAGAUACGAAUUUUAUUUGAAUUAUAUCCGUAAUGAAUUUUUACCGAAUCCGAAUUAACUAACUAUGAUGCGGAGAUACGGUGUCAUAAGUCUGGAACGAGUUUCCAAAAUUUUCACAUCAAACAAUUGGACGGCAUAAUAAGCUACUCAGUAAUAUUUGAUUCGGCAUUAAUUUUUUUUUUUACUGUGGUCGAGAGUUAGGAGUGUUGUCAAAUAUAUGGAAUGAAAUAAUGUAUUUGGUCGUUGCGUCAUUUUUCGAAAUAAAAUUAUCGUCUAACAGAUGAAAUAUAUUACUUUAUUUAAGUAUAAUAAUAAGAUCUUUGAAGAACAAAAAUCAAACUCCCAUCUUUCACUUACAUGAAGAAAUUUUUAAUAUAGAACAAGUUAUUAGAACAAGUUAUCAUCAUAUUACUUAUUCCGACAUCCAAAUAUAAUUUAUUAUAUUACACGUUAAAUACAUUCUGAAUUUUUAUUUUCUAGAAAAUUGGCCACUGCAUGUUCCGCUUGUACGGAAUAUUCUCCUUUGAUAGACCUGUAACUCAAUUGAUUGCGAAAGAAAGCAUCAGGUCCUUUUUUUUCUUUAAAAAAAAAAAAAGAAAAAAAAGAAAAAAAAAAAAAAGCAUAAAGUUCUUUCUACGAAGUAUAUUGUGAAAGUUUGCAACUUUACACAUUUUGUUCACAUGAAGUUGAGAACGGAAGUACGCACUAGUAACAUGAGUUUUGUAAGUUCUCUUAUAUAUCGUUUGGUCAGCAAAAAGCGACUAUUCUAGAAAUAGAUAUAAAUUGAGAUAUAAGCGGGGAUUAGAUUAAUUUUACCUUUUGGAUGAAAAUUGAAUUAUUCCUGAGAAUAAAAAAAAUAGCAUUUGAUUAGGUAAGAUGGAAUAAAAAUUUAAGUGGAUAGUUAUAAAUAAAAAAUAUUGAUAUCAUCUUUUUUUUUAUAUUAAAAUUUGGGAUUGCGGGGAGAUUGUGUUAUGUGCGGUGAGAAAGUACAUUGGAAAAAUACUCUGGUUAUUUUCAUACAUAAUAUUGCGUUCCACAUAUCGCGAUGAGUCGAUUACGAUAUAUUUUCUGCGGUCCUAUCGAAAAACUCAGAAACAUAUCUCUCUAUACUUUUUUCCGAACUCCAUUUUAUCUGAUAGCGUUUGAUAGACCUCAAUACCAAACUAAGCCUAACCGAUUUACCAAACAUACUUUAUUUUAGGGUUAAUUGCAUACAUCUCCAUGUAAAUAUAGUGAAUUUCAAAUAUAUUUCUGUAAAGUUUAACUUUCAUAAGUUAUUUCUACAAAAGUCAUAAUAUUUUCAGAUAUAUCCCUCUAAUUUGUUAUCGUUAGAGAAUCAUUAGAAAACUGUUUAUAUUUCCAAUUUUGCCAUCACAAAUAUGUUCCUCCAAAAGUUAUAACAGCAUAAUACAAAAGGGGUAAAAAGGUCAAAAAUUAACUAGGGUAAAAUAUUUAAUCUAUUGUUAACUAAAUUUUUCUAACGGAUUCUAACGGCAGGAACAUAUAUGAAAAUAUUAAGACUUUUAUAAGGAUAACUUAUGAAAAUUGAACUUUAUAGAAAUAUAUUUGCAAUUCAUUAUGUUUGCGGGAACCUGUAUGCAAUUAACCCUUUAUUUUAUAGAUAAUAAUUUAAUCAUAAAUUUUAAUACAUAGGGUUUUUAGUUAUUGCAAACCAUAUUUGGGGUGUAUGAAAAAAAAAAAAAAAAAAUCUAAAUAUUGAGCUAGGCUGGUAUACUAUCGGUAGGCGGUAGUAUGGAGACCUCCGUACUACCGAGUUGUUUUCAAUGAUGCGGCUUCUAAAUUGACGAUCGGCUCUAUUAGACUUGACCUACACAAUUUAAAGUAGUUGGAAACUAAAUUUCACAAUUUUUCGGCAUCAUUUACCUAUCAAACGAGUAUUAUAAAAAUGAACAGUUGAAAAUAAAAAUCUCAUAAAAACUGAUGAUAAAAGACUUGAAUUUAAGUUCAGAUGUACUAAUCUUACUCUAAAUAGUGAAAAAAAUUUCUAUAAAAAUUUUAUCAAAUUUGGAUUGUUUUACACCGUUAAAUUCACAAACGCAUUACAUCUACCAUUAAAAUUGUCAAUUUUGAGACUUUUUGAUCACUAGCCAAAUGAUGCCAAAAAAUUAUGAAAUUUAAUUUUCAAAUACUUUUAAUAGUGUAGAUCAAGUCUAACAAAGCCGAUCAUCGAUUUGGAUGCCGCAUCAUUGAAAACAAGUUGGUAGCACGGAAUCCGAUAGUAAACAAGUUGGUACCGAUAGUAUACCAGCCCAACUCCUAAAUAUUACCAUAACAAACAAAACUUUCAAUUUAAAAUGAAUAUUUAAAGUUUAUUUCUCACUGAAACAAACAAUGAUUACAAUUGUUAACUGAGUGAUGUUUUCACGAACCGGUCUACUGGACCAAGUCUGAUGUUUUCACGAACCGGUCUACCGGACCAAGUCCACGUAAUAGUUCCUCAUAAAAUGAAUAUAUUAUUAAAAAGUUGCUUUCUCAAUCAGCAAAUGUCCUUUUCAUAAGGUAUGCUAUGCUUGUAAACAAUUUCCGCAUCAUUUUAGUUAUCUAAAAUAAUAAAUAACUAUACUAUUUUUUUGUAAAUAUAUUAUCUGGCCAUAAUAAAUUGCCAUAAUUAAUUGGCAGAAAUAUGCGAAUCACAAUUUAUAAUAAGAUUAAAAAAUUUAAUUAUUAAAUUAUAUAAUUUAUAAAUUAAUAUAAAAUUUUAUUUAUAAGCAAAGUAUUAUUCAACAUUUAUUAGUUUGAAUAUGGUGUAUAAUUAAGAACAUCUUAGCCAACUUAGCUAUACUUGGUCCUGUUUAUUGCAACGUAAGUAGACUUUGGGGUGAUGUGGAUUUUCGGUUGAAUUAGAGUUCAGAUGAAAAUUACUUCACAUCCGCUGUUUGUUUCUAGCAGUGUGAGUGAAGUUCUGUCUGUUCUGCUGUUUAUUUAGCAGGAAGUGAAUGACGUAAAAAAUAUAAUUCUCUACUUCCUCUAUUUGUUUCACCAAAAAUUAUUCAAUCCCCACACCUCUGGUAAACUUACUUCCUACAUAAUAUUAUUGUCUCUUUUCUAACUUAAUAAAUAAUAAAUUAUAAUAAAGAAAAAAUAAUGUAAUUACAUGCAUGUCUAUACAAUUAUAAAAUAAAAUUUAAAAUAAUUAUAUUAUUUUUUUUGUAUAUAAACUAUAAUAAUGCAACAAAUAAAAUUCUAAAGUUAAACAAUUAUUAACAUUUAACAAAUUAAUUUUUUAUCGUUUUCUAAUGUGCAAAUUAAAUAAAAGAUAUAUUAAAACUUAACUAAUCAAACUUCAUCAUAUUUGAAACAUGCAAUCUAAAUAAAAAAAUUAAUUAGUUCCAUAAUUAAAUAUGUUUGGAUGAAAUACAACUAGCAGUAAUUGAUAUUAUACCCAAAAUAACAAAAUGUAUCAUUCAUACCGAUAUCACAUCCAAAAUAAUAAUAUCAUAUCCAACCGACCGUCUCUAGAGCAAGUGGCAAAAGGCUUGGUGGUUGGUACCUGAGAUUCCAAGUUCAAAUCCUAGCUGAUUCACAUUUCUAGCUAAGUUUAUUUCUAAAUUAAAUAAACGAAGUAGGUAGCGUGCUACUUAUUUCUCAAAAAAAAAAUAAUAUCAUAUCCAAAAUGAGAGAGGAGAGAAGAAGAGAGAGAGAGUAAAAAAAAGAAACAUUCAUUCACUUCCUCGUGAGAGAGUAACCCUAAACAUCACCUUAAUUAAGUUCUCGUUCUCUUUUCCUUCACUUCACUUGAAUUGACUUUGCUCUUUGGGAGAGCGAGUCAAUUUCGGUGUUUUGCAUAAACCGGGCUUUCGACCGUAGUAAUAUUACGGUGAAUCAAACAGCGGAAGUAAUCAAUUUUUUGCCGAAAAUCACUUCCUUCCUUUUCACUUACGGUGAAACAAACAUGCCCUUAGAAAUUUCUCUUUACAUCUAAAUUAAAAUCUAACUUAUUAAUUUUGACAAAUUAUAAAUUAUUGACACAGAUUUCUUAUAAAAUGGGAUGAUGACUUUUUCAUUAAAUAAUGCAGGCAAUUAUUUCUCAAUCUUUAGGUACUUUGUGUUAGGAUUUGAUUAGAUUUGUAGUUGAUUUUCUAGUUAAAUAAGAAUUAAUAUUUAAAUUUAUUGAAGAUAAAUUAAUAUUUAAAUAUUAAUUUGAGUAUAAUUUUAAAUAUAUUAGGAUAAAUAUUUAAAUCUAUCGGAGAUAAACUGAAUUUAAAUUUAAAUAUUAAUUGGAGCAGAAAUCCUAAUCAUACUAGGAUACUUACAUACAUUUUGGGUGGAGGCUUAAAUAUAGAGCCAUGGUAUGCAAAUUGUAUAGAGCCUCUAGAGAGUAUCGCUGAGAGAGUGCCUUCUUUGGUGAAACCGUAUCAGAAAAAAGAAAGUCAUGGUUGCAUACACCUAGUGCAUAGGAGCAUGUGAGAGAGAAAAAGAGAGAAGUCUGCUUUUGUGGGUUUAUAGAAGAUGAGAGAAGGGUAGGAGAUUCAAAAAGAGGACUCAGGUUAAAACUACUCUGUUGCAGAAGAGAAGUUAGGUGUAAUCUUCUCUUAUUUAGUAAAAUUUUUUUUAUCCGCACAUUUUCUGUUUAGUUUUUUCUUUCUUUUGUGAUUGUAUCAGUUUUUACUGAAGAGAUGGAUUUAUGAUAAAAAUCCAAUUCGAUGCUUCUGUUGCAGAAUCUCAUUUUUGAAAACGGAAAAAAUGUACAAAAAUCCUUGACCUUCGCUUCUUUGUGAAAAAGCAUAUGAACUCAGCAAUUUUUGGUUAUCCAUAAAAUAAUUCAACAGGUCCUCGUUUGAAUUGAAGUUAUUAAUUAUACAAGUGUUUUGGUUGUAUGUUUUGCAUAUAAUCUUAAUUAUAAAACUGCAAAACAUAAAAGAAAUUAUUAUUUAUUCUAAAAAGCAAAAAAGAUAGAACUCAUUCACCUUACUCUUUAAUCUCCAUGCUUAUUAUCAAAAUAGAAAGAGAAAAAAUAGAUUUUUUAUAUUUUUAAGUUUUACAAGAUUAUUAUUAUAUACAUGAUAUUUGAUCAAAACGAUUGUGUAAUAGUAAUUUUAAGUGAGGACAGGGCCUACUAAACUAAGUGAUUAAGCUUAAGAGGUCAAACUGCUAAAAUUAAAAGUUUAGAAAUUAACAUGUUUACCAAAAAAGCUAAGGUUUUGGGGGUCUUAAUUUGUAUGAUUUUUAUUUUAAAAAUAAAUAAUUAUUUCAUAUGGUAUUGAUCGGAGAAAAAAAUUCUGAGUUCAAAUCCUGUUUGAUUCCUAGUUUUUUUAAAAAAGAAAUCUCCUGGCAUAUUGAGAGAAAAGAAUUAAUGAGAAAUUAAAGGCAAAGCAAAGAACAUGUAAGCUAUGUUUGUUUUGCUAACACUAAAGAACAUGAGUGAGCUAAUGCUUGUAAUCUAAGCUCACGACUCGCAACUUUUUCUUUAUCUUUUGAAUGAAAAACAGACACACUGUUUUUGAAUCUUUCACCAAAAACUUUCAAAGUUGAAAGUCGAUCAAUCUAUCGGAAGUUUGAAAUUUUACUAGAUAAAAAAUACGAAAUUGAAUUGAAAUUUUCAGUUCAGAUUUUAUUUUUUCAUCUAUUUCCAGUUCGAAUUCUCUUCAGGCUUUUUUUUUUUUUUUUUUUUUUGAAAAACUGAGAUAUAUAUUUGACUCAGAUUUAGCUUUUUAGAAAAAAUUAAUCAAACAAAUGGGCACCCCUUAUGUGUCUUCUCCACCCUCCCUUCUGUGAAACAACCGUUGUACUCUAAAAGCUUAAGCUGUUCUCAAUAACCGUUGUACUCUAAAAGCUUAAGCUGUUAGAGAACAGUGUUUAAAUAUUUUUAUAUUUAACACUCCCCCUCACGUCUGGGCUCGAGACUUUUUAAUCGGCCCAUGACGUGGGCUUGAAUUAAAUGGGAGAAAAUUAAUAUGCUAGGAGCCUGGCGUGACUCGAACUCAGGACCUCCUGCUCUGAUACCAUGUGAAACAACCGUUGUACUCUAAAAACUUAAGCUGUUAGAGAACGGUGUUUAAACAUUUUUAUAUUUAACACCUUCAUCCAUGCAUAGUAUGUAAAUUCAUAAUCAAAUCAGGGGUAUUAGACCUUUCGAGACACACAAAAAAAGUUUUAUCUGUCACAGUUAUUCUACAUGAAAUUUACAACAUCUAAUCAUACGUCACAAUAUUGUAUAAAGGUACAAGGAUAAAUUCUUUUUAAAGCAUUAUUUUGAUGUACAAUAAUUGAAUUCGUCAUUAUCUUACUUGACGCAGUAUGAUUGAUUUGAAAUAUAUUCUAUUUGUUGUAACAUUUACAAAGAAGAUUUUUUUUUUUCGAGGCAUCAUAGAGCAUCGAGGCAAGUAUACGGCAUCUAUUAUAUAUCCAAUAUAGGCCUACAUUUGACACAACAAAACUAUUUAAGUUCUGAAACAGUAAAAAUGCUUUCUAAGAUUUUGGGAGACUCUUUGAUGAUUUUGGUGAUUUUCUUUUCUAAAUUACUUUUUUGUGAUCAUUCCAAAAGUUAUGUCUUUGGUGAAGCUCAAAGUUAGUUGGUUCUUAAUUACAUGGAAAAGUUUUGAGUGCCAGAAUUUAGAUGAGCCUAGAAACUUUACUUCAAGGGAAGUAGUUAAGUCGAAAAUUGGAUAAUUGUAAGUCGUAAAUAAGCUUCUGAUUUAUGUUGUAAACAAUGUUGUACAAUAUAAAAGGAAAAAAAAAUCUUAUUUAUCUUUUAUCUAACAUGCAUGUUAAAUGGUCGAUCUGCAUUAUGCACAAGUGUGAUAGUUACUUUUCUGGGAGGAAAAGAAGCUAAUUAUAAGUUGCGUUUCAAACGGAUGGAUGAUGUGCUCAGUAUUAUAUUAUGGUUGGCCAGUUUAGCCUAGGUUUUGCAGUACAAGCAAAGGCUACUUAUAUAUAUCAACUGAUCUUUCCUUAAUGAAAUUGUAUUAAGAGGCUGCUACCUUAACCCUGUCGAAAAAAUAUAAAAAAAAAAUUGCAUUGCAGACUAUUUAGAUUUUUUUUUUGGAGAAGAAAAUAGCAUACUAUCUGUUUCAUUCAUUAUAAGUAUGAAUUAAGCAAAUAUGUAAGAUAAAAGAAAACCUCAACAAAAAUAAAAAAAAUCCUAAAAAAAAUUCUAAAAAUGUUGGCUUUUGGCGGAUAGAAUAAUCUUCCAGUGGGUUGCCAUUGUCAUGAUCUUAGGUACCGUCAUCAGAGGGUCUGCGUAAGUAUUUCUAAAAAUAGCACUAUUCCUUGAAUCUCAGAUGACCCACCAACAGACUAUUUAGAUUUUUAAUUGAUUGAUCAUAAGUAACGGAUACAAUUAUGUGAGAACUACUCUGUGUUCCCUCGUACCCAACUUCCUAACCCAUGUUAGUUAGUUGUUGCCAAUUUAAGUUUAAAAAAAAAAACGAGAAAAAAAAAACAAAAAAGUUGAAGUCGGCAGUCGAAGAGGACAAGAUAUAGGGACGACGCCGACUUCUUAACACCUCCACGCUGACGUGGAGGCAAGCUCCCGCCCGCGCCAGCUCAGCACCAUGGACCCCACCCUGGGCCCCACCAACCCCCUCUCCACCCUCCUCACCGCCUCCUCCCCCGCCCCCGCCGCCGCCGCCGCCUCCGCCGCCUCGAGCACCGCCGCGUAGUACUCAACACCCCCCUCCACCGCGCGCCUCAGCGACCCCGCUCCGCCGCCGUAGCCCUCGGCGUCCACGAGCACCGCCGCGCGAGGCGCCGCGCGGCGGAGGAACCGCACCGCCGAGGCGCACGAGGUCGACGGAGAGGCGGAGGCCGAGGCCGCGCGCGAAGUCGCUGAGGUUCUCGGCGGCGAGCGCGGCCUCGGGGGUCUCCUCGGCGACCACGGCGGUGACGCGGAUCGCCGGGGGCUGCGGGGCGCGGCGCGCGGCGACCUCGUGGGCGAAGGAGGACCACUGGCCCCCGAGGCCGAGGUCGAAGUCGACGACGUGCACCGACGCCGCCGAGCCCGCGGCGUCGAAGGCCUCGAGCAGGGUUUGGUUGGCGGUGAAGCUCGCGAACUGGGGGACGGGGGAGAGGUCGGAGAAGGCCUUGUGGGCGCCGAUGCGGCGGACGACCUCGGCGGCGGAGAUCAUCGGCGGCGGCGCCGCCGCCGCGUGGGGGGCGCCGUGGAGGAGGGAUAAAAGAGCCUCCUUGAAGUAGAACGCGGCGCGCUGGAGCGGGGGGCCGAGCGGGGCGGCGAGGUGGGGGUUGAGCCGCGCCAGCGCGAGGUCGGCCGAGUGGGGGUCGCCCGACUCCAGCGAGUCGGCGGCGCUGAGGAGCAGCUCGAGGUGGGGGCGAUCGAAAGGAGGAGUGGUUAGGGUUUCGAAGGGGUCGGAGAAGGGGGAGGGGUCGAAGGAUGUGAAUUGGGAUUGGAAUUGGGGGAGGUCGAGGGCGAGGUCGCGCUCGGAGAGGAUCCACGAAGAGAGAGGGUCCCACUCCGCCGCGGCUGCGGCGGCGGAGUUGGAGUCGGGGUGCUGCUGCUGCUGCUGCUGCUGCUGCUGCGGCGGCGGCGGAGCGGCGAGGCGGUGGAGGUCUCCGGCGGCGGCGGCGGCGGAGGAGGGGGAGGAGGUGAGGUGGGGGUCGAGGACGGAGGUGGGCUCGUAGUAAAAGGUAGUGGAGGGGAAAGGAGAGGUGGUUUGGUGGUGAUGGUGGUAGUGGUGGUGGUGGUGGUGCGGAGGGGAGGAGGAGUCGGCGCCGAGUUUGGUGGGGAAGGUGUGGGAGUCGGCGACGAGUUUCGUAGACUUCAUGUGACUCUCAACAAUUAAGCAACACUCCCCCCACUCUCGAUCUACGUUAAUUUAUGAGCGCGUGUGUGUGUUUUGUAUCGCUGUUGGGAUUUGGGAAGGGGAAGUGGAGGGUUUUACGUCGCAGGGAGGGGGAUUAUAUGGGUGGUGGAAUGAAUGAUGCUGAUGCUGCUGCUGCAGAUGAUGGUGAUGAUGGUGAUGAUAUGAUAUGAUGAUCAUGAUGAUGAAAAAACAUAAACAUAAAUAUAAACAUAAACAUAAAAGACGAUACAAUUGGACAUGGGAAACAAGAUUCAAAAGGGCUCUUUUAACGUGGUUCGGCUUCUGGGAGAAGCCGUCGCCAUUGGAAAGUGUCACUCAUGGAGGCCUUUUCUUUUCCUUUCUUCUUCUUUUUCUUUUUUUUCUUUUUUUUUAUUUUUUUUUUACCUGCAUGUAUUGACGUGUGAAUUGACUCGUAGCAGUGUCAUUCACGCUACGUCUACUACAGCCUGGAGACUACGGGUCCUAAUUCAAUAGUUAUAUAAUUUUUUUACUUUCAAACUUUAGUUAUUUUACAUUUUUUAAAUCUCUUAUUUGGAUUUUAGUUUAUUGACAUUCCAGUAUAAUAAGAGUGCAUCGCAGGUAUUUGUCAGGAUCGUUGGUACUAUCUAUUAAUUCUAAAAAUUCGAGCCGUUAAAAAUACGAUACGCAACCGAUUCAUUUAGGGCGUGUUUGGUUGCCCUGUUUUUUACUCUGAAAUUGCAAUCGGAAUGGCUGAAUCCGUUUGUCCAUAUUUGGUAUACGGGAUUUUCAUUCCGACUUCGAUUUCCAAAUGAACGAUAAUCCUCCCAAUUACUCAUUUUUUCAAUUCAGCCCUUUGAAUCUGGACGGAAUGAAUUUGUUCGAAUUAAAUUUAACUUUUUUAAGCUUAUUUUUAAUUAAAAUAUAAGUUUAAUUUUAAAAAUUAUAAUUAUAAAAUUUAAUUUUAAUUUGAACUUAAGUUAAAAUUUAAAAUUCAAUCAAGUAUUUCGAAUCUAAUUUAUAAAUUUGAAUUUAAAUUUAAAUUUAAUUUAGAAUCUAAAGGUUUUAUUCAAAUUUUAUUUAAAAUUUAAAUUAAAUUUAUGGAUUCAAAUUGAAAUUUAAUUUAUACUUUGAAGUUUGAAUUUUAAUAAAUCAAAAUUUAGUUUUUUUAUUUUGAUAUCCGUUCAAUUUCAAAUUUUAAUUUUUUUUAAAAUAUAUUUUAAAUUUUGACUUAAAUAUAUUUAAUUUUCAAUUUAAAUUUAAACUAAUAUAUUAUAAUAAUAAAAUUGACAUAUCAAUUUGAUUACGUUUCUGAUAUCUAUCUGAACCAAACAUCAAUAAUAGGAAUGGUUUAUUCCGAUUUUGAUUCAGAUGGCGAACUAAAUAGAAUGAGAUAAUGAAUCAUUCUGAUUCCAUUUUCAGCUUAUUCUCUUUGAAUCAAACACACCGUUAAAGCGUACAAACACAAUGCCCACGGGUCCAAUUGUGAUUUGGCGCAACCAACCUCACGCCACUUCGAAUAUAACUCGGUCCUAUUCAAUCUCACACCAUUUUAAACAUGACUCAGUCCAACCUGGCCUCCCGUCAUAGGGAAGAAUACUACCGACCCCUUUAAGCUAACAGUAUUUGUGGCAAUGAGUAACCUACAAAGGGAACCAACACAUUUUCCCUUCUUUACUUUUAUACAAUUUAUAAAACUAGAUUUAUUAGACUUUGUUCUUCUACUCUGCGAUGCGGUUUGAUUGAUUAGCACCAUUUUUUUUUUUCUUCCUCUUGAGGCCCCUGCUGCCUCACUUUAUGUAGCUAAAUUUAUUGACUGAAUAAAUGAAGCGUGCUAUUUUUUUUCUCAAAAAAAAAAGAGAAAACGUAUUAUAUCAAACCUAGCUCGCGAUUAAAUAACAAAUACGUAACUUGUGAAUGGUAAUGCCAAACUGCAUGCAUUUGAUAUGCGUCAGAGCUAGCUAAGAUCAAUGUCGCAAUUAAUACAGUUAUAUUUAAUAUUGCCACCGUUUUCUAGUAACUGCGAGAUACUACAUGACACAAUAACUUCUUCUUUUUUUUUUCCUUUGAUAAACAAAAACACAAAGUAAUGUUAAAGUAAAAAACCCAUAUAUAGGUUCUAAAGGGUCCCUAUAUAUGUACUUACUAAAGCUCGUAGGAAACUGAUGCGAAUAUAUAUACAGGUGAAGAAGAUAAGGUGACAUGAUCAGGGAGAUCAAAGCUAAACCACAUAUCCAAAGAAUCCCCACCACCUCAUUAGGGUCCCUCAUUAGAUAAGACUGUUUCCUUGAUGGUCUAUCUCUCUCCUUACAAAUGGAAAAUUAAUCAAUCAUUGCCUGCACCCGGUGCAUGCACCGUGUCAGUCGCGUGUUGCACUGCACUGUCCAUAUCCCUUCAUCCAACUUCAUACUUCUCGCUCGACCGUUAAACGUUAAAAAUAAAUGCUUUUCAACUUAGGGCACGGUUGAACGCGUGAUCACAUACUGUUCCGCAUAUUUACUUUGUUCAGUGAAGAGUGCGAUUAGCUAGCUAAGAUGUCUACAAUUAUUUUUACUGAUCCGUGAGAUAAAAUAGCCUCCUAACUGCAUUAUCCUAACAAAAAUGAAAGUGGCCGUUAGCACCUCAGAAGGGCCAAAGCUGAACUCUUAUUAAAUCGUAAAUUGUUGUAGAAUAACUUUUCAUGAAUAUCCAAACAUGUCUUUUAGAGAAAAUUGAAACUCUUUAAACAUGCUGUAGAGAUUUAGACCAUACAUGUUUGGAUGUUAGAAUAAAUUAUCCAAUGAUAACUUAUUCGGUAUGAAAAUUAACUUGUGUAACUAGAAGAUCUUAGCAUUCAUAAUUUGACAGAACAACAUAUUUCACUUACGAUGCAAUUGUCUUAUUCUGAAAAAAUAACUUAAUGGCUGAAUAUGGUAUCCACUCUAACCAUUUGAACAUGCUUCUCGUUAAUUUACCAAAUGCUACAUAUUUUGUAAGUAAAUUAUAGGGAUACGUUUUGGAUAUAUAAAAUGUUGGUGCAUUCAAACAGAACCUUAAAGUAGAUCAUAUCUCUGGAGGGAGACGAGUGCAACUACGGUGCAUGCAUGCAUGCAUGCAUGGUGCAUUGGGUGCACGCAUGCAACUAAUAUAUGUUUAUCAAUUUCUCUUUUCCCCAACAUCUAACCCCAUCUCUCCCCUUCUCCUUUUUCCAUGAGUGGAUUAUAAAUGAUGCUCCCUUUCUAUAAGGCUUUUCCCAUCAGAAUAUGACGGGCCUAAACUUUCGUGUAACACAAGCCUCUUCUCUUCCUACAAGCUUAUAACGUGUAGGAACCGUGUCCUAAACCCUAGCUAAUAACAAAGCUCCUCACAAGAUAUACUUUGAAUAUGAUCAUUGAUUGACAAGAAAAGCCACAAAUGAUGAGAAUAUUACUUGUGCAUUAUAGGCACAUGUUGUGGCCUAUCGUUGUUGGAUCUUUUUAAUUAAUUACUCAUGGGAAUUUCAGCCAUAGUGGACAUCAGUGUCAUUAAAGUUGGUUUGUUUUUGCUGAGAAUAUAAAAAGAUAGAGAAAAAAAUAUAUAUCCUACUUAAUUAUACAAGUUUUAUAUUCUUUACUUAUGCUGAUGCGUCAGUUUCUUAUAAUUUAAUUAACUUUGCAGAAAACCACCAUAUAUCCUAUAUAUAAUCUCAUAUUCAAAGUAAUUAUAAAUAAUUUCUCCUAAUUAGCAUUUUUUAAUGCAGGCUUCGACUUAAUUAGACUCAGUAUCUCUUACAUCUAUGUAUCUUCUUUACUAUUUAUAUAUUUCCACUAUUAAAUCUACUCAUUGAUUAAUUUCAUCUGUUAGAUUAUACUAUUGUACCAAUCAUUCACUAAACCGUAGGGGAUCACUGUCAUUCCAACCCUAUAAUUUCAGCACAACUCUCUCUCUCUCUCUCUCUCUCUCUCUAUAUAUAUAUAUAGUUAAGAUAAGUGUCCUAAAAGCGAAUUUGUUGAAAAAUCUUUUGCUCACUCACAGAAGUAUUAUUAUUAGAGAAAUACGAAAUCUACAAUCCAAAAAAGGAUGCUGCAGUAGUAGAAUCCUUAAUCCAAAGGUUGUAACCUGGCUCUCUGGGGCUCAAAAAAUCUUUUUAAAAUUUCAAUAUAAAAAAGUAAUAAAAUUAGUAUUAAAAAAUUUGGUCAGUAAAUGAUGGAUUUAUAGGAUUACAACCCCAUUUGGGUUGUAGGAAAAGCACAACAUACUCUUCAUGCACUAAUCUUAUCAAAGAUCAUUAUUUACUUAUAUGGAUGUCUCUGUUUCUUCCAGUGAAGGUCUUUAAUAUUAGAUGUAAUAUAAUUAGAUGUUAUAUUUAUCAUUUUGAUCAUAAAUCGUGUCAUUUUCUGGUGAAUUACAUUACGUGCCCAAUAAAAAUCUUUCAACUCAGCAUGUUAGUAAAAAGUUAUAAAUAUAUAUAUGUACAUGAUAUAUAUCAUAACUUUACUUAUGGAAAGCUAGCUUUUAAUUAAUACGUAUCUUUAACUUGGUAGUUAAAGGUGCCCUAUAUAUCCUUGAGGAAUAAUGAUCCUUAAUUUCCUGGGGAUUUAUUAAGAUACAUGCAUGCAUGCAUGCAACUUUCAUCUUUCACCUUUUUGUGAGUGCGGCUAUUAAUUAUUAUCUUCUUCUGAUUGAUCCACUACAGUUCAAGUUAAUUAAUUGAGCUUCACUUAUAUAUAUAGUUAUUUAAUUAAUUUACAUCUAGGGUUUUGUUUACACAAAUGGGGUAUAUAAUUGCUAGUUAAUUAACUUUAUAAUUUGCUAUAUGAUCUACAUAACUACAUAAUUAGGUACGUAGUUCCCCUAAAAAUAUACCUAAUCAUUGGUUAAAGCUUCUACUAGAGUAUCGCAUCCCCUUUUAAACUCAAAAAAAAAGACCACUUUGCGCUGCAGUUUGUUUACUGUUUAGAUGAGAACAUAUAUUCAAAAAUAAUUUGCUUUACAUAAUAAAUUGCUGAAAAAUAAAUGUUUAGUGUUUUAGUGUUAGAAUCUUGUGUUCAAACUAGUAGGACAAGUAAUUAUUUACUUACAAAUAUAUACUGAUCUAAAUGUGGCAGUUUAUAAUAUUGUUAUCUAUAUGAAUUACACCACUCUUCUUGUGAAUUACAUUAAUCAUUCAAUAAAAAUCCUCCACGUCAGCAUAUUAGUGAAAUGUCGUACAAUUAAUACGUACGAAUGUACUGAUCAUGUACAACAUCACUUGUAUAAACCUUUUAAUACAUAUAUUCAAUUUGUUAGGUAAAAUAACCUUUUCCUGGGGAUUUGUUAAGACAUGGAUGCAACUUUCACCUAUUGUGUGUGGGGCUAUUAUUUAUCUUAUUCAUGAUCACAGAUCCACAAAAAAGUUCAAGUUAAUUAAGAUUAAACUUCACUUACACUAACAAUAUAUAUAUAUAUAUAUAUAUAUAUAUUAUAUUAAAUAUAUAUAUAUAUUAUAAUAUAUAUAUAUAUAUAAUCAUUAAAGUUAACUCUAAAUUGGAUACGAUCAUCCGUAGAGCAAGUGGCAAAGGGUUUGGUGGUUGGUAUCCGAGACCCAAGUUCGAAUCCUAGUUGAUUCACAUUUCUAGCUUAGUUUAUUUCUAAAUGAAAUUAACGAAGCGGGUAACGUGCAUCUAUCUCUCUCGAAAAAAAAAAAAAAAAAAAAACUUCUAAAUUGCAUUAAAAAGAUCACAUUUAUUGUAGCUUCUUUACUGUUUAAAUAGGUGAGAACACAAAGGGAUAGCAUGCUACCUAUCUCUCUCUCAAAAAAUAAAAAAAAUAAAAAAAAAUAGAAGGUUAAAAAUCAAAAUAAAAAACAUUAAUUUGGUGAAGAGCAAAUACAAAAGGCUGGAAUUAAUUAACAUCUUAUAUGAGAGAAUACUCCAAUUAGCUAGUUUCUUGGUAGUUUAACAUAUUUUUUAUUUUACUAGAUGAUUUGAAAAAAAUCAUUUCUAUAUUCUGUGAUUUUAUUUUUAUUUUAUUUUAAAUAUUUGCCGUUUAAUAAGAUUGUAAAGUUCUACAUUCUAUAAACCACAUAUUAAUAAAAUAAAAUGUAAUAAUAGUUCAUAAAUUUUAUUGUAUUAUUCUAUAGCUGUAAAUUAUAUUAUUUUACUUAAUAAAAGAUAAGAUAAAACUUAGAUAAUAAUAAAAUUAUUUGAGCUGAUAUUGUUUAGGGAUGCAAACAAAACGGAUCCAGAACGGGAGAAUUUUUUCAUCUCCCGUUUUAUUUUUAGGCGGGACGAAACGGAUUUAGAACGGAUUAUUUUUUAUUUUAUUUUUUACUCCCACUUAUCACUCCAUUCGAGGCGGAUCGGAGCGGAAGCGAAUUUUUGACGGAUUGAAGAAAAAAAGGGUCUCCCGUCUUUCGCUCCGGUUACUUAACGGGUCGGAAUGAAUUCGAGACGAAUUAUAUUUUUCUAUAUUUUUUGCUUUUACUUACCACCCCAUUCGAAGUGGAUAGGAGCGAGAGCUCCACCAACCCGGAUCCAUUUACAUUUCAGUUUUUAUUUGCAAACAAUUUAACGGACAAAAUCGCUCGUGGGCCCACCGGCCCACCACGGAACAUAUUCCCUUGUGACGUCACACUCUCAACUCCUUUUCUUCUCUUUUUUUUUUCUGAUUUUUUUUUUUUUAAAUCUAAAAGGUCAGCGUGGUCCGCACGCUGACACGAGUUAGACCCGAACAUGCACAUGGCAUGCUCAUGCAUCACAGCAUACAUGCAUGCAUGGUCAUCACAUGAAACGGGACAUGGCCGACAAAAGCGCCAACGUGGGGCCCGCGACUAUGCAGCCGUGUGCUCCGCGGUGCGACACGUGGAUGCGCGUGGGUCCCAGCUUUGUUGGGGCACUAUCAAAAAAGUGGGAGCCGUAAGUCUCGUGCAAAAUGUUUAAAGAAAAGUUUUUUUAAAAAAACAAAAAUAUUUUAUUAAAAAAAAAAAAAAGAAAAACUUCAAAUACCCCCGGUGAUUUCGUGCUUUCUCACUUAGUACCUGUGAUUUAAAGUGUAUCAAGUUAGCAUCCUAUGGUUUCGCACUUUCUCACUUUAGUACCCUGUGGUUUAAUAUUUCGUUAAAUUAUUUAUAAAAACUUUAGUUACACUAUCUACAUUUAUCGAAUAUUUAUUUUAGUACCUUUUAGUUUUAACUUUGUCACUGAUUUAACAAAAAAAAUACCCCGAAAUGAAUAAUAAAAAAAAAUAAAUAAAACCACAGAGUACUAACUUGAUAUAAAAAUGAAACCACAGAGUAUUAACUCGAUACACUUUAAACCAUAGGGUACUAAAGUGAGAAAGUGUGAAACCACAUGAUACUAACUUGAUACACUUUAAACCAUAGGAUACUAAAGUAAAAAAGUGCGAAACCACAGAAAAUUUUUAAAGUUUUCCCAAAAAAAUAUUACUAUUUUUCUAUUUUUGCAAAAGUAAGUCUUUUUUUUUUUAUUUUUGCAAACUUAGGCUAAAGUUUUUUUUAAAACUUAUCAAAAUAUUCAGGUGCCUUAAACACUUCAUCUAUCCUCCUUUCUCUAGCCAUGCCUCCACCACUGGCGGCAUUUUCAAGCAUUUUUCUCAUGUCCACCAUCUCAAUGCUAACUCUUCUGUCGCGUUCACGUAAUGAACACCUUACGAGCGAAUGGAAUAUGGUGAACUCAUGCUCAUUGUCGUGACCACUCAAAGCGCUUCGCCGGAGGCAAACGAAAGUAGCAAAGGUGGACAGCAACGAUUGCUGGUCGAGAAUGCUUACGAAAUAUGUUUAUAGUGAGCAUGGCCGAUGGCAACGAGAUGGUGGUGGUAGUGAGAGGAAAAAUUUAGUGGAUAACGCAAUAUUGCACUAUUUCUUAAAAAAUUGUACUAUUCAAAUAUAUUUUGCAAUAUUUAGCAACAAAGUUAUACUAUUUUGCUAUUUAAUAUAUGUAUCAAAUAGUGUAAUUUUUUGGCUAAAAAGUGCAACAUAUAUUCGAAUAGUGCAACUUCUUUUUUAAAUAGUUCAAAAUCGCGUGUUCCUAAUUUUUUUUCUCUCACUAUCACCACCACUUCACCCCCGCAACCAUGCUCGCAAACCUACUUCAAGAGCAUUCUCAAUCAGUGAUCAUCACCCUCCUCCGCCACCUCCGCCUUCAUCUUCGAAAAUGCUGCGAGCAGCACCACCCUCGUCUAUCCGCAGUGACCUCGCUAGAAAACACCAACAGCCACAACCACAUCCACGACCGAGUCAUGCGUCGUUAUUGUUCUUUUGCUCGUGCAUGAGGUAGGGGAAGAGUGAGGGGACGCGGGGCGAUGGAGAAGGUGUGAGAAAAAAUGGGAAGAGAAAGAGAGCAAGGAGAGAGAAUAAAAAUAUUUUGGUUAUUUAAAAAAUUUGGGGUGAAUAUAUAAAAGCGGAAAAAUGGCCCUUUUUUGAAAAAAUUGCACAACUAUUGAUUUUUUUUUAAAAAAAUACUUUUAAAGUAAUAAAAUUUUAAAUUAUAAUUUAAAAAUUGAAAUCUAGCAUAAAUUUGGACCGCAUAAUUUUAAUAAAAUAAACAGAUAAAUGUAAACAAAAUAGAGCACCAUUUAAAAUUUUUCAGAUUAAUUUUAAAAUAACAUACAGUUUUAAUAGAAUAAAGUGAAAAUAACUCAACGGAAUAACUAUACCAUUGAAUACAAUUUAAGUUUUAAAUUUAGUGCAAAGAUUACUAUUUUAACAUAAUUUAUAUGGUAAAUUACACUCUUGGUCAUCGUACUACGAGGCACGUGACCUUUUGAUCUUCAAACUUUAAAUUUGGAAUUAUUUUAGCUCGAACUUUGUAAAUUGUUACCAUUAAAUCUCACAAUUUAAUUUUUUGAACUAAACAUUGAUAAUUCGAUAAUGUGAAAGUGAUAUAGAUUGAUGAUGCACUAAUAGUAAAAUACUUGAUUAUAAUAAUUUAUAAAAUUUGAAUAAAAAAUUAUAGUAAACUAAAAUUUAAAAGAUCAAAAUAUCACACAUCACACAGUUUGGGGACUAAAAGUGUAACUUAUCCUAAUUUUAUAUUAGGCCCGCCGAAUCAGAAGAUCCUUGGGGCGUCUCACACGGCAACAAAUUCAGCUUAAUUAGACUUAAAAAAAGGGGAAAAAAGUUUAAACUUUCUCAAUUAAUCUUAUAACGUAAUAAUCUUAUCUAACAUAGCAUGGCACCAAGAAAAGCAAGGCCCUUUCAGUAGACUCAAGGAAAAGAGAAACAUGGUUAGAAACCAAAUGUAAUAAAAAGGUGGAAAAAGAGCAACACAGGAGUAUCAUCUCGAGUGCGUUAAUCCCACAAAUUUCUACGAAUGGAGAGCAACUCAAUACCAAAAGCAAGUUCACUGGGAUUUGAUAUUCCCUAGAAAAUCCUCCUGUAACACCAUUUGUAUGGUACAGAUAGAAAAGAAGAUAUCAGUGCUACUUUCUAAUUAUAACAUGUUGGUGCAAAGAACUAUUUAUCUACAAAAGGAAACAACAGUCGGUGACAUGAUUCAUGUGCCGAAUGCGGUGAUAUACGAUACCACGACGGUAAUGUCGUCGAGCUUUCCCCCGUAGUAUCGAUAUCCUGCGUCCUGGGCGGCGCUCGAGAAGGGUGUUUGCCGGUUCUUAUCCAGGGCCCGCUGGCGAGCCAGAGCGGCUAUCUUCUGGGCGGUCACUUGAGGUUCCAAUCCGGCCCGGACGGCGUGAACGACCACGGCGGUGAUCUCGUUGUUGUACAAGUUAUCAAAUAGCCCGUCAGUUCCCGCGACGACAACAUAGCCGGAUUCGACAGGAACAGUGAAUACCUGUUCAGCACAGAAGUAGGGAAUGUUUGAUAGCUAUACUGCAGUAACUUUAUCUGACUCUUUAUUUAUGUAAAAGGCCUGCAAGCCAGAUAUUCAGAACGAAUAUGUAACAUAUUAGAGGAGAAGAUGAACAUACCUGGGCAGCACUAGGCAGGUCACUUGAAUUGCCACUCUCAAGCUGGUAAGUAAAAUUGAAGUCAUGCUGCUGCACAGGUGAUCUGAAGAUUGUGCAUCCAUCUCUAACAACUAUGAAGCCACUGUCGCCAAGGUUCACCGCACGAAUUCCCUGUAACCAGAAAGCAAACUAAGAGAGGUUAGCCAUUAGAGAUGCCUAGAAAAUUAUAAAUGCCGAACAUAAAAGGAAAGUUCACACCCUUCGGUCCUCUGAGAGAAAUUUUUCGAUAGAAAGGGAAAAAACAAAUCUCCCAUUACCUUCUUGGGUUAUUUUGUUUAAUUAGCAGGAAAAGAGCAGCAUAAGAAUUUUAUUAUUUGAUUUGAUGUGAAGCUUGUUCCUGAAUAGUAAUAACUCCACUUAUUUGACCAUGACAUGAACAGUUCACGAGAAUAUGUAUGCAUGAAAAGGUUAUCCCUAAUGCAGUAAUUGCCUUGAGCAGAAAGAAUAGUGCUGUGAUUGUUUGUUAUUCUAAAAGCUCUGCGAGCAAGAACUCCAAAAGAAUAAAGAUUUGAGUGGAGCUAUGCAUGAGAAUAUACAUAUGUAGCUCCACCUAAGCACAAAUGUAAAUACACGAAAAUGCCCAUUAUGCAGCAAAUUUUUAUUUUAUUUAGUUCUUGAAUACCAUGGCAAUUUCUUUUACCGGAAUGCAAAGAAUUUGCCAAGAACUUCAGCUCAACCCCACAAACCUCAAUUUGGCAUAACGUGGGUUUGUAUAUUUGAUCCGUCUAAAUGAACCUCUUUGGAAACACAAUCCUAUUUUUUGUGACUAUCCAACUCAAGCAGCUAAUUAAUGCUCUCCUGUAAUUCCCCCCUUGUCACUCAAAUUUAUUCUAAAUAAUAAUAAUACUUUUUCCCAAAUCUAAAACAGAAAGAUCUCUAGUCUCUACUAAUCACCUAUAACCAUCAAAUCUUCAACCUUUCUCUAGCUUUUUCUGACAUAUCCUAUGACAAUAUCUGUUUUAAACCACCCUCCCUCUUUUCAUUUUCAAUUCAAGAAACCCAGAACAACGAAUAUUUCCUUUCCAAAUACUGUCAGAUCCUCAAACAUUUGUACCUCUGUAUCUAUUCAUCUUUCAUACAAGUUAUUUUUCAGGAGCAUGAAUUUCAAUGAAAGGCAGUGGAAGCACACUAGUGGCUAAUAAAGUACACCAGUGGCUAAUAAAAGGCAGUGGAAGCACACUAGUGGCUGAUAAAGUACUCUCAAAUGUUAAAGAUAUCUGCCUAGUGAUCGAUGAUGCUUUGUCUGAUGGCAGCAAAUGAGCACUGCAAUCGAUCAUAUAGUCAUCCUGAUGAACCAAUCUAUGCUGAACCCACUUCCCUAGUUAGCUCACUAUCUUUUGUUAGGACUCCUCUUACCAAGUUAUUACAAUUGUAUCAACGCUAAAUUCUGUUGGUUGUGCAUUUCUUAGGGGCCCAUCUCCAUUUCUGCCAUGAUUAUUCAAAAGUGAGAAAGAAAUUAUAUAUCAUUCUGACAGGCAUGGAGAAGCUGGGCUGACAGCAUACGCAAUAAUAGUUUGUAGUCUAGGUGUCAUUGCUUGGUGUGGCAACAACAGAUUUAGGCUUGCAAUUUGAAAAAUUCGGCAGGUAAAUGAUAUGAAAUGCCUGAAAGAGAUGAUAUCAAAGAAAGAAACCAUAGGUGCACAAUAACCCGCGAAACAGUACAUAAAAGAAAGGAAUGAGCAAACCUUAUCUGUGAGAGCAAUGAUGCAUGCUGUUGAUGAUCCUUUGGCUUUCGUGCUCAUGUAAGCUUUCUCGAGCACUCUUACUGGAUCAAUGGAUCCUUUUGGCUCUUCUUGUAUAGCCACCAGUGAAUGAGACAUAAGCUCUCUAGCAUACUGUCCUGCAUCAACACCAAGAUCUGCCCAGCCACCAACACCAUCAGCCACUCCUAUGGCCUGUUCAUCACAUAUAAAAUGAGCAUCUUCUCCACCAGUUUCUUCCUUAUCGGGGUGUGGCAAGUAGCAUGAUCCAGAUAGCAGCUUCAGGGUUCUCUCACUUGGUUUGUUCCUGUAACAAGAAUUGUAUAAAAUAUAAAUAACUUACCAACCUACAUAGUUCGAUAUUUAACAUUAUUCAUCUUUGACUAAAUUUACAGAUACACAUCUAUGGUAAGAGUGAGAAGCACUCUCUAAAAAUAUCCCAGCUAAGGAGGCUAUUUACAGGGGAAAGGUCCCACCAACCAACAAAAUUCAAGUGGGAAAAAGGAUGGUUCCAUUUUAGCUGUUUUAUUGGCUUAGAUAUCUUCACAAAUAUUUUAGCAAUAAUAAAGCAAAAGAAAAAGACUAAAUGCCUGAUAAAAUUAGCAGACAACAAAGCUCACAAAACUAAAUUGAUAAUAAACCAUAGUAAAUUUUCAAUUAGUUUCAGAAUUAUCUAUCUCAUAAAGUGAAAACAUGCUAAUUCCACAUUUUUCCAUGUUUCACUAUUUCUUCCAUUUUGAUCUUCUUUGAAUAACAAAAAUUUCAAAUGAUUUGGUGAAAUUUGAUAACCGGGAAAUAGGGAUUCUAUUUUCUCCACGAUCAGUUCAGUAGCCAAUUAGUGGAAAAUAAGGAUAAAUCUGGGGUAUUCUCCUUAUUUUUUAAAGUAAAAUCAGCCUAACAAACUUGGGAUCCUCUUAAAUGUAAAAGUGAAAUUUCAUCUCAACCAUUGCUCAUAGAUUUUAAACAGAGGAAGCAAUGCAAAUAAAAAAAAAAAGAAAAAAGAAUUCACAUACACUUUUGCUAUACUUUCAAUUUCUGUUCCAUGUUUUAUGCAAGUUUAGGGGGAAUAUGUACCAGGACAGUAAGAACUAUUGAAUCUAAUAUGAGUUCUCAAAAUUAACACAAUUAUUGGCAUCUCCGUUGUCUAUAUAAAAACAGCAUCAAACAUGGGGCACCCCAAAAGAUGUAAUAUGAAGGAAUGAACUGUGUACAUUAAUAUGCUUAUUUUAUCUUAGGACACAGGCCAUUUCAAUUGUUUCUGGUGUAGGCCUUCAGACUAGCAAAUCCUCCUACAACCUUACAAUUAUGGGCUGCUUUCCCAACAGCAACCAAACUUUUUGUUUUCUAGUCUUUCCAAAUAAUAUUAGCUGCUCAUUUCUCUUCAUAUAUACAAAGCAAGAAUUGCACUUUAGGUGAUCAUGUUCUCCCCCAAACAGAAAAUGCAACUAACAUAAUAAGUGCAAGUCCCAGCCAAAGAGAACAUCCCAGUGCAGAAGGCUCCACCAAGUGCAGGUAUUGAGUGCAAAAUGCACUCAACCUAACCUAAAUUAGAGAUGAGAGUAUUAUCGCAAGUUAAACCUACACUUCCUAGAUGACUGGAAUAACCAUUCACUAAGAUAAAGCCAUCACUGAAAAGUCCCAUCUACAACGAGAAAUGGGAAAUUACUGACCAGUUUCCAUAUAUUAGGUGCAUAACUACAUAUGCAGUGUAUAAGUCAGCUAUGAACGAUUAACACUACAUUGUGCUUUCCUUUUCUUCUGGAGCAUAUAACCAUACAUAAUCAGAAGAAUAUAUAAUUAAGAUGAAAAACA